RNAcentral lists this long non-coding RNA (61784 nucleotides) under Setaria viridis. RNAcentral's name for it is "long non-coding RNA (SVIR_LNC007217)". The record is from RNAcentral. Lineage: Eukaryota; Viridiplantae; Streptophyta; Magnoliopsida; Poales; Poaceae.
UGCAGAAGGGCGCGCGCGUAUGGAAUAACAAGUAGGGACACUGCAACUAAUCUACUCUGCUCGUCCAGUCCCUAGCCUAUAAAUAGAUGCCAUGCUAGCUCUUGUUGUGCUCACAAUUAAUCCGAUUACACACGAGCUUCUCUCCCUGGCCAAGACACAACCAUAGUAUGAUGAAGAACAUGGCACUAGCCGGCAAUGGUAUGAAGAAGUUAAUCCUCGCUGUUCUCUUACUGUGUCUAGUUAUAGGGCAGAUACAAGUGGAAGCUAAGAGCUGCUGCCCAUCCACCACUGCAAGAAAUGUCUACAAUACCUGCCGUUUCACGGGUACAUCCCGUCCAACGUGUGCAAAACUGUCAGGCUGCAAAAUUAUCAGCGGGAACAAAUGCAAGCCCCCUAACGACCACCUCACCCUUGACCCGGACACUGGUAAAUAAUAAAUUUAUCUCACUUGAUUUCUUCGUGAUUUGAGUCGUUAAUGUAUUUUCCAUCUGAUGAAACGUAUUGGUUUUGCAUUGAAGAGGAAGUUAAUGUGCUUAACUUCUGCAAGUUGGGGUGUGCGUCGUCUGUGUGCAACAACAUCAACGCUGGUAAGCAACUUUUGCUCAGACAGAGAAAACAAUAAUCAUUAAUUAGCGGCAGCUAGAAUCCUAUAAUCUAAUAUAUAUAUAUAUAUAUAAUUUUAUCAGCUCUGGGAAAUGAAGAGGCGAACGAUGCCGUUGAGAGUUGCGACCAAGCCUGCUCUAGCUUCUGCAGCGUGCAUGUUGGCAGCGCCACCGUGGUUGCUUAAGCAAAUGCAUCCAACUAGAUCGUCCUUGUGCUGAAUAAUUGGAUAUCGUAUCCACUUAAAGCUGCCUUGUGUAGUACGUCUUUGUGUCUCUCUUUAUAUUCCAAUAAGGUCGGUGAUCUUGAUGCCACACACUCAGAUGUGUGUUCAUCUCCAGAUACUACUCCAUGCUACCUGCCCUUUGUGUUUUGUUCAAUAACUGGGUAUCAUAUCCCAGCCAGUAUGCCGUCUGUUUUGUGUUUGUUUCCUUCUAGUUCCAAAGGGGUCAUCAUGAUGUUACCUUCUUUCAAUAUGGUGCUUUGCAUGACUACUGUUGUAUGGUACCAUCUUGUGGCCAAUAAGUACAUCUUAUCCUAUGACCUUUGCUAUGACCCUUUGCAAAUAAGUAGAAGAUUGUUAUAAGCGUCAAUACUCCGUAUAAAUUGAUCGCUGCUGUGAGUUCCCUUUCAGCUUAUCGUAGGCAUACAUUAUUGCUAGCACGGUAAAGCCAACCAACACGAAUGAUGAAGUAAACGUAGCGGUACUUCUGUAUACCAACACCCUUACUUAAAUGUACCGGUGUCAUUCCCUACUGGCACAUAUAUUCUUAUAUGCUAGCCAGCUUGUAAAAUUAACCAAUUAAAAUAAUUAUUUCAAGAUAGAAAUAACUUAUCGGUUUCUGGAAGCAUGUGUAAUGUGAAUUCAAGGACUCGACGGAAGUUGAAUCACUUCAUCUAUAUUGCUUUCAGUAUUUUGGGUAACUAAAUUUAACAUUUGCACAUACAAAUGUUAAAGUACAAAUGUUAAAUCUAGUUACCCAAGCAGAAUAUGAAGAUAGUUUAUAGUAUAUAUAUACUAUAUAAAUCUAGUUAACAUUUAGUCUAAAUGUUAAAUCUAGUUACCUAAAAUCCUGAAAGCAAAAUGUAUAAAUAUAUAUCUUUUAAGGCAGUAUAAGCUUCGAUUCCUAUUGCUGCUCUGUUAAAUCUCAUCUUUCGUUGUGGCCCAACACUCUAGUAUGCAUGUUGCACCAAGCUUCUUUGAGCCGCUCUGCCCUCUGAUUUUGCUGCGUAGGGGAAUCUUUAUCAGGUUGGGCUACUUCCAGUUGUGCGAUGUAAAGAUUCGUAUUUUCUAGAAGGUAGACAAAAAACUCGCGUUCUCUUAAGGCAACAACCGGAAGAUUCUGCAGCGCACAGGGCAUACCAUUAUUGUAGAAACGACCUUUAGUACCGAUCUCCAACCCCCUUUAAAACUGGUUUUGCAACCGGUACCGUUAUGUCGGUCCUUUAGUACCAGAUCAAAUAAGUACCGGUUGGUAACCAGUAUCAACUUGUUUUGCGGCCAAAAAAAUAAAGAAAAAAACAGUCAGAAGGCUCGCGCACACGCGCAUCACAUGAAAUAUGCGUGUGCGGGGUCCAUGGGAUUCGAACCCAUGAAAUCAAGCUGCGCGCGACCCUUCGUUACCAUCUCACCUACAUAGCGCAUAUGCUUUCCUGAAGUAACCCGUGGAGGAGGCUUUAGUACCGGGUCAUAACACCACCCGGUACUAAAAAUGACUCUUCAGUACCGGGUCAUAACACCACCCGAUACUAGUAUCGGAUGGUGUAAUGACCCGAUACUAAAAGGCCUCUAGGGACCCUCAAAUUUGAACCCGGUACUAAUGCUAAUAUUAGUAGCGGGUCAAAGUGCAGCCAGAACUAAAGCAUGGGAUGAAAGGUCAUAUUUCUAGUAGUGUAUAGUUGUUGUGAAGGACUGACUUGGCUGUCCUCUCUCUUCUCCAUCCCCUUGGUCUUACGCCGCCGCUCGCACGCGAGCCGGUGCCCAACCAGAGGAGUGAGAGCUAGGGGCAGGUUGGGAGGUGGGGAUAGUGACUGGUGGCCAGGGUGAUGGUUGAUCCUGGUGGGGUUAGGGUUUUAGGGUUUUCGAGCUUCCUAUGGUCGGCGAACCUAGAGGAGGAGCUCAACAUCAGCUGCAACCCGCGAUGGUGGUGGUUUGGCCGGCGCCCGAGGCGAGGCAGCGCGGGAGUGCUGCCGGUGGGUUGGUGUUGGCACUCAUUAUUGACAACUAUUUUGUUCAUAAAAUAACACUCAAACUUGCUGCUGCUGCUGCUGCUGCCAUCGCCACCCUAGCCAUAAUAUAAAGGCAAAAUUUGCUAAAGGACAUGCAAAAUGAUGCUAGUUUGCUGGCGGGCAUCGUUGACCUUGUAAUAUGCUACAAGACACUCUAGUUGUGUAUCAAUUUGCUGAAAGACAUUGCUAUGACUAAAAUAAUGUUUCUGGACUGAGUUGGAGAGAGAGAUGGAGUGAAAUGUCUGUUUUGCCCAUGACCCCACUGGUCAGAUCCUUCUUCUUCCACCCUCCUUUGUUCUUUCUUCAACCAUUACCCAGCUCCAGCGUGUUGCAGAUCUACGAGGGUGGCGGCCUGGGGCGAGGGGCAUCGCUCGCCCUUGGAGGAGCGCUGCGAGCGACGGCGCGGGGGCGGCAACAGCGCGUCAGAACCUGACUGUUCGUUAGCUCCUCUCGCUGCUGGGGAAGGAGGGGGAUGGGCCAUGGACGGGGUUCCCUUGAAAACCUCAGCGUCGAGCUCGGGCGGCUACGCGCAGGCAGCACUAGGCUGCUUCACGGGGAGGGGGCGCGGCCAAUCAUUGGCACCCCACUGGUCCAAUGCUGAUGAAGAUGGUGCCAGCGUCGUGUGAGGACAUCUCAUCUCCUCGAGUUCCAUGGCCAGCACAGGUGAGCUGCCGCUACCACAAAACAGAGGUUUCGUGAGAGUCAAAAAACCUUAUGAAAAUAGCUAAAACCAUCAUGAAAAUAAUCCGUGACAUGACACUCUCACGAAAAUCCUCUCACAAAUAUGGUGCCAUGAAAAUACCAUUUUCAUGAGAGUGAACUGUCAUGAUUUUAUUUCGUGAGAGUAUUUCCUAUCAAUGACCUCCACGAAAUACUUUGUGCCACCAGGUCUUCAAGAUCAUUUUCAUGAGAGCUGAACAUCAGGAAAAGUCCGCCACAAAUGUUUUUCUUGGAGCCCCUAACUCUCAUGAAAAUCAUGCGGGCCGCCACGAAAAACAGCAUGACCAAAUGACAAAUUUCAUUUUCAUGUGUUCAUACCGCCAUGAAAAUGGUCAUUUUCAUGAGAGUUGAUGAAACAAAAAAUAGUGCCAUUUUCAUGAGAGUUCAAGCAACCAGGAAAAGACACUAAUAAACAUCCAGAUCCCAUCCAGCACACAUCCAUGCACAUAUAUAACCCACAUAUUGCUCCAGCACACAUCCAUGCAUAUACAAGAUCCAAAUGUUAAUAUAGUAGACAUCCAUGCCUGAACUAGUCUGCCACACAAGUCAUUGAUGCUACAAAUCCUACAAUCGCAGCAUGUGCAUACAAGUCACAGAAUGAGACAAUGUACCCAAAACUAAAAGGUUAGCAUCAACUGUGCUUCAACCAAAGUUGUCAUCCCAACUCUCCUCUUCAUCCAUGCCAUUCUUGUCGUGGCCGUCACUGUCAGUCCCCAUGGCAUUGCCAAUGCUGUGCAUGUCUUGGUAGGAACCUACAUGUGAUGAACUAGUAACCUGCAAAAAGAGCUCAAAGGAUCUUGUUCUCAUAUUGUAGCUGUGAAAUUCUUACAAGUAGUGUUGCAAUCAGUUCACUUUGAACCAAAAGAGCUCAAAGGAUCUUGUCCUAAAAGUUCCUCAUAAAGCUUAUGGGUUUGCUGGUGGAACUGGAAGGGCUUGAUGCAGCAGAUGCCAUUCUGCAAUAGAGAAAAAUUUAGAGAGCAGUACUAGUUAAAAUUGGAUGCAGAAGAUACACAUGAAACUAGUAUUUAUACAAGUCUAUACAAUUAAAAUCUAAGGAGACUUAUCAUCGUUUUCAUGUGUUGUGAAUUAAAAUAAUGAAGGAUACACUGUUAGGUGAAAAUUCAAGAAACAAAAUUUUGCAUAGAGAUAAAGGUCCAACAUUAUUACAAGUUAAGGUAGUUUUAAAUAUCCUUGUAAUCUUCCUUUGGUUUCCUCAACGAUUCGAAGACAAUAACCUUGCUUCUAUCAAUGAUAAUUAUAAGGAGAAUCCAGUGGAAACUGUGUAUUCGUAUUAGAACUACCUAAGGUUAAUUAGGUUAGGAAAGGAAAUUGAAAAUAGAUGGUACCCACACUUACUUAAAGUUGUCGGGCAAUAGUAUGUAAUGCUUGUAAUUCCGUUGCUCCAAGAAUUUGUAUAUGUGGUCCAAUGUAGACUUUGGUUGAUCCCGUAUCUGCUGUUGGUUAAAUAAGUGUUUCUAGCCAUUUCUAGCCAUUAGAACCGGGACUAAAGGGGGCUCUUUAGUACGGGUUGAUAUUACUAACCGGGAUUAAAGAGCCCCCAUUAGAGUUGGUUUUUGGAUGCGGAACUAACAACUCCUUUAGUCCUGAGUACGAAAACAACUGACAUAUUUGUUGCUGGAUGGAAGGUCCUUUCUCUACCGUGAAUAUUGCCAGAAAGAAUUGAAAGAGACUGCUUGCUAAAAAUAUGUCAUAGAUGUAGACCAAGCUACCAAGGAGGUAGACCAAACAUGAUACACACCAUGCGUACCUUGCUGUGCAGACUAUGCAUUGACAAGAUACCCGACCACAUGUUGGCCUCGGUCACAUCAAAAGAAUCAUGUAGGCCACCAAUAAACUACUUGAAGCGGCAUUCCGUAUCGUAUAUGCAUUGCCGGUUCAUCUGCAUUACAUUACAUAAAGCACUAUUAACUAUUUGAAUAAAAUGAACCAAUUUAAAAGUAAUGUGUUGUACUCUACUAUAGAAAGCCCUAUCACUGCCGGAUCCAAAAACAUCAUUGUUAAUGGUGGUUAAGUACCAAAUAUGACGGUCAAUAUUCUCAAGAAUAAUGGAGAAUUAGCAUUUCUUAGACACAUAUUUGGUUUUGAACAAUGUAGUUCCACAUGUCUUUGGAGAUUAUUUGGGUGUGGGUGAAAUAAUACAAAAAUAAGGAGAAAACACACUCCCAUGGCGAAGAAACACAACUCCAACCAAUGAGAGAUAGCCACAGGGGCAGCACACGGAUCCAUGGGCCCACUAACCGCAUCAAACCAUCUUACCAAGGCAGGUAGCACCCACAACCGUCAUUAGGACCCACCUGGAAGUCUACCAAGAAGAAGGUUGCGAGUGGGGCCAGGAGGGGUUCGGUUGAAUCAUCUCUAGCUAGCUCCCCUCAUCCCCAGCUGGUGGGUGGUGGUGGUUGAUGGUGUCCCUACAUCAGUUAGAGGAGAUUCCCCCAAAUAUUCCUCCUGUAAACCACCUCUAUGGACCUAUACAUAGAGGGGUGUGCUCUCCAUUCCAACACACACCACAAGUUGAAUCACUCUCUCCCUCUUUAGUUUCCAAGUUUAUGGAGUUAGGCUAGAGUAGCUCUGCUCAAGGUUCCAAGUCCACUUGGAGUUAAGCAUAUGUCUCUUGUAUCGUUAUUUCCUAAAUUGACUUUAUGCUUAGUUCUUAUAUGCAUGAGUUAGUCUAAUACCCUUGCUAUAUUGAUAUGCUCGGCUUAUAUGCUCGUAUGCUAGUCAUAUACCCUUGCUGUCGUAGUAUAGGCUUAUAUGCUCUCAUGUGUGCCUGUAGACCUUGCUAUAGUAUAUACUUGUUGUGCAUACAUACCAUGUAUAGGCUAGUCGAUCUAUACCAUGGCAUUGGUUCAAUAGCCAUGUUUUUGGUGGCUCCAACCCUAGUCACAAUAGCUCGGGACAGCUGGAGUGUUGUUAAAAAUGCAAGAGUGGUGCUUGGGUUGUUUAGCAUCGUUGGAUAUGGGUUUGCCCCACGGGUUUCUAACGGUAGGCGGCAGCUAGUGACAUCCCUGUCCGUCCUUCGUAAUCCCCCCACAUUCAGGUACGCCAUAAAUGUUCGUAAAUUAGCAGUAACUACGCCGGUACACCUGUAGGGUAUUGUCUCCCUGUAGUACCUUGGUGCAUAGAACUAAGUCCUAUACACUGUGUGUGUAUGUUUACGCUGAUAUGAUCUGUGCAGUAUAUAGGAUGUAUAUAUGAACCUAGAGCUAACUCCUAGUCCGUUCUCCAUAGCUUAGUUAUCUUGAGAUGAUUCUUCUGUAUGUGUAACACUACCCAUCUUAUCAUUAUCCUUGAUCCUGUCUUGUGUAAUAUAUCUACUCAUCCUAUGAUAUACUCAUAUGCAUAGUAAACUAUUUUGACCUACCCGCCUUCCUUUGGGAAAUAUGAUACCUUGGAAUAAUCCUAGGUGAAAUCCUACAACGGUAUAUCCAUGUAAAUGCGGAUUUAUUCAUGACCAUUAAAUAUACCAACAAUCAUCACUGUGAGUUUUGGGCGUCGUUAGUGAAGGGUUGGUAGUGAUGGGCAUCCCCUUCACCAAUGGACCUGGAACCGGCGGUGAUGGCUAUUAUAAAAAAGGGGACACCACCCAGCGUACCCCACGACCCGGCCGGCCGCACCUCCCAUCAUCCCCGCCAGCCGCCCUUCCUUUUCGCCGGCCGAGCAUGGUCCCGGCCUUUGUCCCUACCACCUCGCCUCCACCGCGACCCCCCGCCGAUGCCCUCGUGCCUGGCCCCCCUCAUCUUGCCGGCCACCCUCCCGAUGCGUCCACUGGGGCCCUCGCACCACCAACCGCCCUUGCUUAGAGAGGGAGAGAGAGGAGGGAGGUGAGGCCACGCACCUCGUCCUACACCGCCGCUGUUUCUCCUCGGCCCACCGCGCCUCACCCCACACCACAGCCGCGCCUUGCCAUCUUACCGGCUGUGACGCCUCAUCUCACCGGCCACCGUUCCUCACCCCCACUUCGGUCGUCGCCGCUCCUUGCCCUACCGCUGCUCUUUGCCGCUGCGAAUGAGCGCCGAGUGGAGGAGGAGGGAUGGGGCAGGAGGAGGGCAAGAUCCGGGAGGAAGGGAGAGAUCUCGGGAGGUGGAGAUGGAAGGAUAUGGCGGAAGGGAGAGAUCCAGAGGGAGAGAGCAGGGGAGAGAGGGGGGCGUGUGGGGAGAGAGCGCGUGUGGGGUGGGGCCGGGCUGGUGGGAUGGAAGGGAGAGGGGCUAGACGGGCGCAGUGCAUUCAACUGGAUGAAGUAAAUAUUUUGGAUUCGAGACCCCAGCUUUAUUAUCACCGCUGGUCCGUAGUACCAUCCGGUGCCUGCUCGUAAUUUAAUUUGAAUCUGCGGUGAUGUUUUAUUAUCACCAUCGGAUCAUAUAAAAAUCCGGCGGUUAAAAAUCCGCUGGUUUCGAUGAAAACCGACGGUGAUAGGAUGACUGUGAUAGUCUCUUCUCUAGUAGUGGUAUAUUAGUACCGGCUGCCGGAUGGUGUUGCCGACCAGUACUUCUCCGGGGGCGAUUCAGUACUGCUGUUAGCAAAGCUUGUUCUCUAUGAAUUUGGGGAUGGAAAGCUAGUUCUCUAGUUGUGAUUUGUUACAUAUAUAUCUAUGAUAGUCUAGAAAUUGCAUGUCCUUCGUUGACAUAGUUGAAGCUGCUUCAAGAAUUUACUUCGUGCAGUCGUGCAGCAUAUUGGAUUAUCACCUAGACAGGAUACAUAGGUGAAGCAUUGGAUGUGAUUGUGGCCGAUAAUUAUGCAGGACGCUGUUGCAAUCAACCACCAAGAAGUCUGGAGUGAUGGGGUUGCCUCAUCAAUAAUUUUUAUAUAUGGCUGCAGUAUUAUUAAGCCCACGUCAAUAAUUUUUUGUCCGCACCAUAUAUCGAUGGGGUUGCCUCAUCAAUAAUUCGCGCAACCAGACAAGCUGCAGACUCAAUAUGGUACGAAGCUAGUUGCUCAGCCCACAUGCUCUGAUAUAACAUUGACAUCUGCUGAUCUACAGUAUAUAUGACCAGAAAUAUUGUGCCCACCUCAAUAACUUUCUGAAGUAUCGUGGGGAAGAACCUACGCGUACUAUGCCUCGGAACUAACUGACAUAUCGGCCCAGGCGGUCUAGGCCGAUUGGACUGGCUCUUCCUUGUGGCUUCUCACAUCCCCUUCGUCCCCAAGUAAUUUCAGGUGUUCUGUAGUUUUCUUUUCACUUGCAUCUGAGCCUCCUAUAUCAAUAGCUUCGGGAUAAGAAUGCCUCUUGAUAACCUUCCAAAUCCUCGCUUGAUUCACAUUGAUUCCGAAAUCAUCUUGCCAUAUCUUCAGAGACUUAGGUCCUAAGGCAUCAUGGAGGAUUGCUCGCCAAGAAUGAGCACCAUUGGGCUCCUGAGGACCCUAGGCCGAUCAGCCCGGGCUCUAUAGGUCGAUUGGCCCAGGCCCUCUCUGGGCCUGUUGGCCUUCAUCUUUCUUUGAGUCGACGCUUAUUCAGGGCUUUGUCCAAUUAUAGUCCAUUAUAGUCUAAUUUCCUAAAAAACAGAAUGUCCUCCAAAAUACAAUGCAUAUGUGAAAACAACCCAAUUAUUAGGUAUGAUCAAUAGUUUAGGUAUUAAAUUAAUAUUAUUAUUUAAGAUAAACAGGGGUAAAGGGUGUCAUUAAUAACAAGCGCCAACAAGCGUCCUAGCUGUUCAAUAAAUUUUUUCUAGUACCGAUUGGUAACACUAACCGGUGCUAAUAUGUACCCUUUAUUACCGGUUAUUUUACCAGGUACUAAAGGAGACAAGAGCAUCCUAACAUAAGGUUAAUAUCAUCCAUUUCAUGAGUAAAAUACUAUGAUUCAAAAAUAAUUCAAAUCCCUUAAGACAAUACCUAUCAAAUGAGUAAAUUGUAAAUAGAGUAAUCUUGAUCAAACAAUGUCCUAAUGAAACGGAACACUUCUGGUUCGUGUAGAGCACAAUAUAGAAAACAGUAGGGUAGCUGUAUGAUUGACACGUGGUCCAUUAAUUAUUGAGCCAACACUAUGGACAUGUCUUCAUGAGUAGUGUACUAGUCAUAAUACAUGGUAUGCAGUAGGUGGAGGUAUUGACUUAGCCAUGCUAUGAGCACUUAGUUACAACAAACACUUUGCCAUUAUCGAGCAUCCCAAAUCACUACAAAAUCCAUAGUUUACCAUAUACUACAAAAUCUGAGUUAAAAUAAGAGCAUACACGGAAGAGUCCGAAUGCACGGCACAUUGAAUUACUAGACAAAAUUUAUGGGACAAGGUUUUGGGUAACCGCAUGAAAAAUAUUGGAUUUUACUGAACACUUAGUUACAAUUACCAUGCCCGUGAGCACUUAGUCACCACAAACAUUUAACCACUUUAGAUCAUCCUGAAUCCCUAUAAAUUCUAUACCUUACACCGUACCAUGAAAACGACAAGAACAGAGACAGAUGCGGUGAAAAUCUCCAGAGCAAGCCUGAAAUUAAAAUAAGAGGAGGCAGUCACUAUCGACAGGACACGGAGAUUGCUAGCCAUGACAGAGGAAGACAUGAUAUGAUAUUCACCUCUGAAAUGCAGCGUAGACUAAAUGAAGCACAAUUGCAAGUGAGUGUGGCAGAUAAUGGACCAUCGAGACCAUCGAAUGGUAUGAAGCAUGAUUAUCACCUAGACAUGAUAUCCUAGACAGGACGGUGAAUUGUAAAAAGAGUAAUCUUGAUCAAAGAAUGUCCUAAUGAAACGGAACAUUUUUGGUACGUGUAGAGCAAAAUAUAGAAAACAGUAGAGUAGUUGUACGAUUGAAACUGCAUCCAUCGACGUGGUGCAUGAAUUGUUGAGCCAACACUGUGGACAUGUCUUCAUGAACACCAUCUAGUGAGGACAGCAUGCAGAAAAAUAUAAAAACAUGUCAUAGGGAGGCAGACCAAUCUUGCGAGGUAGACGAAACGUGAUACACGAUCUGCCUACCUUGUCGUGUGGAUACCCCAAGUGAAGAUGUCAUAGAGGUGCAGACCAAGCUAGCAAGGAGGUAGAUGAAACGUGAUACACGGCCUGCCUACCUUGCCGUGGAUAUUAGUCCUGAUAUCAUUCUAUUGUUCAAGGAAUAACACUCAAUGCUGCUGCUGCUGCUGACCUGGCUCCAUAAAGUUAUAUUCCUCUAGCCGCUUGCACUAACUUUAUCUGAAGUAUUAUUCUCUCUGCACUGUAUAUAUGGUUACGGAGUUUGCUGGAGUAUCCGGGGGGAAGAACCUACAUAAUAUGUCUUGGAACUAACUGACAUUGAUUCACAGACAAGGUGCUGUUGUUGACAUGGUACAGUAAAUAAUAUAGUUUACCAUAUACCGUAUACCAUUAUAUGUUAGCUAAAAUAAGAGCAUAACAUGUCGCAGGAGUCCAAAAGCACCGGUUGAGGACCAGGUACAUUAAAUUACUAGAAAACAAAAGGGGACAAGGUUUAGGUAGCCACAUGAAAAACAUUUGAAUUUACUGUACCAUGAACACUUAGUUACCAUGCCGGGAGCACCUAGUUAACACUAACAUUUAGCCACUUUAGAUCAUCCCGAAACACCAAUGACCCUCAAUAGCGACAAAUUUUGGUUUAAAUGCCGUCACCAAUGAUCCUCAAUAGUGACGUGUUUAGGUUUAAAUCCCAUCACUAAUAACCCUUGGUAGUGACGUGUUUUGGUUUAAAUCUCAUCACCACUGAUCCUCACUAGUGACGUGUUUUUAGCAACACACGUUAUGAAUGACUUGUCAUUGGUGACAUGUUAAACGCGUUAUCUCAAUGGCAAAUCAAUGGUGACGUGUUUAAAAAAACAUGUCACUGUGAGAGUUAUUGGUGAAGGGUAAUUAAAAUGCAUCACUAAUUUUGUAGCAUUAGUUAUGAUAUAAUUUUGUAACGCAAAAAUCUACCAUAGUAAUGAGGUUUAGAGCCAUCACUAAUGUGGGUUUCUUAUCGUAGUGAUGCAAGCUCUACAAGGUGCUGUUGUUGCCAUUUUAAAGCAUCCCAAAUGACUACAAGAGUCCGGUUGAGGACUAAACAAAUUGAAUUACUAGAACCAAAUGUAUGUCCAGAACAAAGAAAGGGGUCAAGGUUUGGGUAACCGCAUUAAAAACAUUGAAUUUUACUGUACCAUGAACACUUAGUUACCAUUACCAUGCCUUGAGCACCUAGUUACCACAAACAUUAAUUUAGCCACUUUAGAGGUUCCACAAUCACUAUAAAUAAUAUACCAACACCGUACCAUGAAAACAUCAAGAAGAGAGACGGGUACAUGGACCACCAUCAAGUGAGUAGUGACAGCACGCACAAGAAUACCCGGAACCUUUUAGCUUGUCUGUAGUGAUCUGUUUUCUUCGCCACAAAUAAUGAAAGAGGCUGACCAAGCUAGCAACGAGGUAGAGCAAACGUGAUACACGUAGGUUUCAUUCAAGACAUCCAUGUAAGAUUCAUUCAAAACAUUCAUGGAAAUUUCUUGUAAGUUUUCAUGUAAAUUUCAUUCAAGACAUUUGUUAGAGGUGUUGUAUAUACACUUAACGUACAUAUAUCUAUGAUUUCAUGGUUGUUAGUGAUGGCAGAUGAGGAGCAUGCAAGGUGUUUAAUGGAGCAGAUUAUUGCUAGUGGUAGUGGCUCCAACCUGCCCGUAACGUACACCGACGAAGAGGGCAGCCAGGCGGACAUGUUCCUCAACAUGUCCGGUGAUGGCAAUGAAGAGCCCGAGCAAAACCUUGCCGUGACGGAAGGUUCCAUCGAGGUAUAUAUCAUUUCCAUUAUUUUACCCCAUCUAUAAUUUCAUAUUCAUUAUUACUAUGUGCUAAUUAAUGAAUCUUGAACCGUUAGUCCUCUAGAUCAACGAACCGAAAUAAGCCCCGAGGUCUUACAAAGAUAAUGCAGGGAAGGCUUCACAUCAUGGAAGUCACAGAAGAGGGCACAUCGGUUGCUCCCGAACAUGUGGCAAGAAAGUACGUGAGUCAAACCGGGGCAAUCGUAAGGGACAACAUGCCCAUCAGCAUCAGGGAAUGAAAGAGCAAUAGAAAUGAUCUAUACGCACCCCCGGAUACACAAAAGGAUAUGUUGUGGGCAAAUAUCAAGAAACACUUCACAUUUCCCAAAGGAUAUGUUGAAAAAUAUGUGAAAGCGUGGAUGUUGAAGAAGAUGGCCACCCAAUUCCAGACAUUCAAGAAGAUGUUGGAUGCCAACUUCAUCAAGAAGGGUCGAACUCCGGGUUUCAAUGAGUGGCCAAAGUUAAGGGACCACUGGGAGUCGUUUGUCGAAUACAAGACGAGCGAAGGUGGUGCGAGUAAGGUUCACAUCAAUGUUGCCAAUGCUAGCAAGGAGUACCAUCAUCAUCUAGGGCGACGUGGUUACAGCUCUGCAAUUCCCAGAUGGCGCAAGAUGGAACAAGACCUGAUCGAUCGGGGUAUCGUACCAGCAACUCUUGACUGGAUCGAUUGAAAAAUUGGUAUUAUGCUCAUGAAGGCAAUCUGAGCCAAGAGGAUCCGACAUUGGUCUUCAAUAAAACAAUACGUCAGAAGGUCGGAAGGCUUAUUAGGAACAUUGAAGAUGCUAAAGCUGGGAGGUUCAAGGUGGAUAGAGAGAAUGAUGAACUCACAUUGGCCCUCGGGACUGUCAUCUCUAGCACUUCCAGCUCCAGGACUAUCGUCACCACCGGGACCGUCGCUUCCUGCUCGAUCACAGUCUCCAUCUCCAGCACAUCCUGGUGGUGCGAGCGACGACGACAACAACACCCCUCCCUGCCCACCAUUGCCGGGACUAAGACCCGCAUUGAGUAAGGAACCUGCAACACCACUGAAGAAGUCGCGACCACCACCUUCAAGGCAAGUCAGCAAAAGAAGAAAGCAGAGAAGCCUAAACCCACUGAGAAGCCAGCGACUGAUAUGACCGAUGCGGAAAGAUGGAAGGCACUCAAAGAAGAAUGCAGGGAGUGGUUCAGCGAAGGCGAAGGUGAGAAAGUCGUAUGAAUCGAAUUCAAGGAUAUAUAUGAAGUGAACCAUCAGGAUGCCCUUGAUGUCUCUCUCAUCAGCGCCUAGGUUCUGUAAGUGUAUGUUUAUCUAUAAGUAAAUUUUGGCUCAUAUCAUUAUUUUUUUUGCGUGCGUCACCCUACUAACUUCGUCUUCCAUUUUAUGUAGGAUGCUAAUUCAGACGUGCCGCAUAGAAGCGUACUUCCAUGUUGGAUUCAUGGAUCCAUCCCUAGUUAACCAAAAGCCGAUACGGAAGUAGCUAGAGAAAACGUUGGAGGUGGUGUACAACCUCCUGGACAAACUAAACUACAGAAUAGGGGCAAUAUGUGAGGGUCUUGUAGGAUUCCUAGUGGACGAGGUGAUAAAUCCAUAAGGAGAAUAUCAUUCCAACGGACGAGCAUUAGACACACUGAGCAACACCUAGAUGGGAGGAUCCUAGGAAUGACCUCGACAGAUUUUGGUAUAAAUAGUAAUUGUGUAAAUACUAGUUUGAUUUGUAUAGGAAUAUACUAAGAAUUGUAUAUAUAGUAAUUGUACAAAUACUAGUUUGAUUUGUAUGAAUACUAGAUUGAUUUUAUUAUAAAAAAGUUUUAAGUCGUACGUGCAUGCGCCUACAAAGGCGCGGAUGCCUUUUAAUCCCAGUCGGAAAAACAAACUGGUACUAAAGGGGCUCGUGCCGCACCUGGCAUGACCACCCCUUUAGUCCCGGUUGAACGACCCAGGACUAAAGAUCUCCGCGUCUCAAAAAUUUUAUCUCGGAUGCUUUUUAGAGAGAUUUGAGGCCUAUCAACCAAGACUAAUAUCGAGUUUUCUACCAGUGAAACUAACUAACGUUCACAUGGUUUUGACAUUCACCUGCCAUUUGGUGUAGACAAGGGCACCCUAACAUAUGGUUAAUAUUAUUCUUGAAAGAAAAUCCUUUGAUUCAAAAUACUUCAAACCUAAUAAUACAAUACUUCUCACAUCUGAAAAAUAUGAGACGGCCCGACAGUAUUCUAAUCGACGCAAUAAUAUUUUGAGGGCAGCACUACUACAGCGACCCUCAUUCGUGCCGGUGCUGGGACUCCUAUCACGACCCUGAUACAAAUGAGGGUACAUUAUUGGUGCCAGUGCUAGAACAGCCACGAAUAACUUGCUAAACGUGCUGUUACACUCACUACAGGGACCAAGAAGGUAGAUAAAUUACACGACAUAGCCUUGGUUGCCGUGGAAGCGCCAAGAAGGGAGACAAAUUACAGGGACCACACCAUCAAGUAGAUAGUGACAAUAUGCAAAAGAAUACCCGCGCCUGUUAGCAUGUGAACUGACCACACCACGAAACGUGAUACACGGCAAGCGUACCAAGGCCUUGCUGUGCAGACUAUGCAUGGACAACACAUGGUACCUGACCGCUUUUGGCCUCAGACACAUCGAAAAACUGCAUCGUUCCACGUUGUACAUCCAUUGCUAGUUUAUCUAUAUUACAUAAUAUAUUAUUAGCUAUUUGAAUAGAAUGAACCAAUUAAAAAAUUGCGUUGUAUUUUUAGUACCGGCUGCAGGAUGGUGUUACCAACCAGUACUAAUUGGCCUGUAGGAGUGAUGGUUAUUAGACUUGGUACUGUUGUUAGCAUCAUUAACCUAAUUGUGCGCCGUAUGAAUUUGGGGAUGCAAAGCUAGCUCUCUAUGAAUGUGAGGGAUGGAAAGCUAGUUCUCUAGUAGUAAUUAUAUAUAUGACAGUCAAGAAAUCGAACACUAUGCUGCUACGAGUCACCAUCAUUUCCUUCAUUGACAAUCUGACAUAGGUGAAGCUGCUUCAAUAAUUUCCUUCGCGCAGUCGUGGAGCUUAUUGGAUUAUCACCAGGACGGGACACGGAAAUGGCCAGCAAUGAAGCUGAUUGCCGUCUGAGGAAGACUACAUACUUACCUAUGAAAUGAAGCGAUUGCAUAGACUAAUGAAGCAUUGCAUAUUUGCAUGUGAGUGUGGCAGAUAAUUCUGCAGGACAUGAUUGCAAUCCACGCACCAUCGAGAAGACUGGGGCGAUGGGGUUGCCUCAUCAAUAAUCACGUGGAUGCAUGCAUGCAUGUUCCCGCAACCGGACAAGGGUCUGAUAUAUGGCUAUAGUAUUACUGAGCCCACAUCAAUAAUUUCCACUGGUGUAUCGUGUGGGAAGAAUCAACAUACUACACCUCGAGUUCUUGGAACUAACUGACGUUCACAUGCAACCUCCACAAGGUGCUGUAUGCUUUUGACAUUCACCUGCCAGUUCGUGUAGAGAAGGACACCCUAACGUAUAGUUAAUAUUAUCCAUUUCAUGAGUAAAAUACUGUGAUUCAAAAAUACUUCAAAUCCCUUGAGACAAUACUUCUCACUUGACUAACCACUAACCAACCCCGAAACCCUAACUCAACUCCGAACCCUAACCCCUAACGGCAUAACCACUCCGUUUUGCCGGCGAGAUGGAGGAACUGGCUGGAAGGUAGAGAGGGCAGCGGUCCAGGGUUGAAAACGACGGGCGAGCGCAGUAACAUGUGGAGGAGGAAGUGCCACGUAUUCGUUCACCGCUAUUGGGCAGCGACACACGACACGCCCAAUAAGAUCUUCGCACGGUAGAAGGACGUCAUGUAUUCAAUAAUGUUAUUGGUCCCCCAUGUGCAGAAGGGCGCGCGCGUAUGGAAUAACAAGUAGGGACACUGCAACUAAUCUACUCUGCUCGUCCAGUCCCUAGCCUAUAAAUAGAUGCCAUGCUAGCUCUUGUUGUGCUCACAAUUAAUCCGAUUACACACGAGCUUCUCUCCCUGGCCAAGACACAACCAUAGUAUGAUGAAGAACAUGGCACUAGCCGGCAAUGGUAUGAAGAAGUUAAUCCUCGCUGUUCUCUUACUGUGUCUAGUUAUAGGGCAGAUACAAGUGGAAGCUAAGAGCUGCUGCCCAUCCACCACUGCAAGAAAUGUCUACAAUACCUGCCGUUUCACGGGUACAUCCCGUCCAACGUGUGCAAAACUGUCAGGCUGCAAAAUUAUCAGCGGGAACAAAUGCAAGCCCCCUAACGACCACCUCACCCUUGACCCGGACACUGGUAAAUAAUAAAUUUAUCUCACUUGAUUUCUUCGUGAUUUGAGUCGUUAAUGUAUUUUCCAUCUGAUGAAACGUAUUGGUUUUGCAUUGAAGAGGAAGUUAAUGUGCUUAACUUCUGCAAGUUGGGGUGUGCGUCGUCUGUGUGCAACAACAUCAACGCUGGUAAGCAACUUUUGCUCAGACAGAGAAAACAAUAAUCAUUAAUUAGCGGCAGCUAGAAUCCUAUAAUCUAAUAUAUAUAUAUAUAUAUAAUUUUAUCAGCUCUGGGAAAUGAAGAGGCGAACGAUGCCGUUGAGAGUUGCGACCAAGCCUGCUCUAGCUUCUGCAGCGUGCAUGUUGGCAGCGCCACCGUGGUUGCUUAAGCAAAUGCAUCCAACUAGAUCGUCCUUGUGCUGAAUAAUUGGAUAUCGUAUCCACUUAAAGCUGCCUUGUGUAGUACGUCUUUGUGUCUCUCUUUAUAUUCCAAUAAGGUCGGUGAUCUUGAUGCCACACACUCAGAUGUGUGUUCAUCUCCAGAUACUACUCCAUGCUACCUGCCCUUUGUGUUUUGUUCAAUAACUGGGUAUCAUAUCCCAGCCAGUAUGCCGUCUGUUUUGUGUUUGUUUCCUUCUAGUUCCAAAGGGGUCAUCAUGAUGUUACCUUCUUUCAAUAUGGUGCUUUGCAUGACUACUGUUGUAUGGUACCAUCUUGUGGCCAAUAAGUACAUCUUAUCCUAUGACCUUUGCUAUGACCCUUUGCAAAUAAGUAGAAGAUUGUUAUAAGCGUCAAUACUCCGUAUAAAUUGAUCGCUGCUGUGAGUUCCCUUUCAGCUUAUCGUAGGCAUACAUUAUUGCUAGCACGGUAAAGCCAACCAACACGAAUGAUGAAGUAAACGUAGCGGUACUUCUGUAUACCAACACCCUUACUUAAAUGUACCGGUGUCAUUCCCUACUGGCACAUAUAUUCUUAUAUGCUAGCCAGCUUGUAAAAUUAACCAAUUAAAAUAAUUAUUUCAAGAUAGAAAUAACUUAUCGGUUUCUGGAAGCAUGUGUAAUGUGAAUUCAAGGACUCGACGGAAGUUGAAUCACUUCAUCUAUAUUGCUUUCAGUAUUUUGGGUAACUAAAUUUAACAUUUGCACAUACAAAUGUUAAAGUACAAAUGUUAAAUCUAGUUACCCAAGCAGAAUAUGAAGAUAGUUUAUAGUAUAUAUAUACUAUAUAAAUCUAGUUAACAUUUAGUCUAAAUGUUAAAUCUAGUUACCUAAAAUCCUGAAAGCAAAAUGUAUAAAUAUAUAUCUUUUAAGGCAGUAUAAGCUUCGAUUCCUAUUGCUGCUCUGUUAAAUCUCAUCUUUCGUUGUGGCCCAACACUCUAGUAUGCAUGUUGCACCAAGCUUCUUUGAGCCGCUCUGCCCUCUGAUUUUGCUGCGUAGGGGAAUCUUUAUCAGGUUGGGCUACUUCCAGUUGUGCGAUGUAAAGAUUCGUAUUUUCUAGAAGGUAGACAAAAAACUCGCGUUCUCUUAAGGCAACAACCGGAAGAUUCUGCAGCGCACAGGGCAUACCAUUAUUGUAGAAACGACCUUUAGUACCGAUCUCCAACCCCCUUUAAAACUGGUUUUGCAACCGGUACCGUUAUGUCGGUCCUUUAGUACCAGAUCAAAUAAGUACCGGUUGGUAACCAGUAUCAACUUGUUUUGCGGCCAAAAAAAUAAAGAAAAAAACAGUCAGAAGGCUCGCACACACGCGCAUCACAUGAAAUAUGCGUGUGCGGGGUCCAUGGGAUUCGAACCCAUGAAAUCAAGCUGCACGCGACCCUUCGUUACCAUCUCACCUACAUAGCGCAUAUGCUUUCCUGAAGUAACCCGUGGAGGAGGCUUUAGUACCGGGUCAUAACACCACCCGGUACUAAAAAUGACUCUUCAGUACCGGGUCAUAACACCACCUGAUACUAGUAUCGGAUGGUGUAAUGACCCGAUACUAAAAGGCCUCUAGGGACCCUCAAAUUUGAACCCGGUACUAAUGCUAAUAUUAGUAGCGGGUCAAAGUGCAGCCAGAACUAAAGCAUGGGAUGAAAGGUCAUAUUUCUAGUAGUGUAUAGUUGUUGUGAAGGACUGACUUGGCUGUCCUCUCUCUUCUCCAUCCCCUUGGUCUUACGCCGCCGCUCGCACGCGAGCCGGUGCCCAACCAGAGGAGUGAGAGCUAGGGGCAGGUUGGGAGGUGGGGAUAGUGACUGGUGGCCAGGGUGAUGGUUGAUCCUGGUGGGGUUAGGGUUUCAGGGUUUUCGAGCUUCCUAUGGUCGGCGAACCUAGAGGAGAAGCUCAACAUCAGCUGCAACCCGCGAUGGUGGUGGUUUGGCCGGCGCCCGAGGCGAGGCAGCGCGGGAGUGCUGCCGGUGGGUUGGUGUUGGCACUCAUUAUUGACAACUAUUUUGUUCAUAAAAUAACACUCAAACUUGCUGCUGCUGCUGCUGCCAUCGCCACCCUAGCCAUAAUAUAAAGGCAAAAUUUGCUAAAGGACAUGCAAAAUGAUGCUAGUUUGCUGGCGGGCAUCGUUGACCUUGUAAUAUGCUACAAGACACUCUAGUUGUGUAUCAAUUUGCUGAAAGACAUUGCUAUGACUAAAAUAAUGUUUCUGGACUGAGUUGGAGAGAGAGAUGGAGUGAAAUGUCUGUUUUGCCCAUGACCCCACUGGUCAGAUCCUUCUUCUUCCACCCUCCUUUGUUCUUUCUUCAACCAUUACCCAGCUCCAGCGUGUUGCAGAUCUACGAGGGUGGCGGCCUGGGGCGAGGGGCAUCGCUCGCCCUUGGAGGAGCGCUGCGAGCGACGGCGCGGGGGCGGCAACAGCGCGUCAGAACCUGACUGUUCGUUAGCUCCUCUCGCUGCUGGGGAAGAAGGAGGGGGAUGGGCCAUGGACGGGGUUCCCUUGAAAACCUCAGCGUCGAGCUCGGGCGGCUACGCGCAGGCAGCACUAGGCUGCUUCACGGGGAGGGGGCGCGGCCAAUCAUUGGCACCCCACUGGUCCAAUGCUGAUGAAGAUGGUGCCAGCGUCGUGUGAGGACAUCUCAUCUCCUCGAGUUCCAUGGCCAGCACAGGUGAGCUGCCGCUACCACAAAACAGAGGUUUCGUGAGAGUCAAAAAACCUUAUGAAAAUAGCUAAAACCAUCAUGAAAAUAAUCCGUGACAUGACACUCUCACGAAAAUCCUCUCACAAAUAUGGUGCCAUGAAAAUACCAUUUUCAUGAGAGUGAACUGUCAUGAUUUUAUAAGCGUCAAUACUCGGUAUAAAUUGACUACUGCUGUGAGUUCCCUUUCAGCUUAUCGUAGGCAUACAUUAUUGCUAGCACGGUAAAGAGAACCAACACGAAUGAUGAAGUAAACGUAGCGGAACUUUUGUAUACCAACACCCUUACGUACCGGUGUCAUUCCCCACUGCCACAUAUAUUCUUAUAUGCUAACCAGCUUUGAAAAUUAAGCGAUUAAAAUAAUUAUUUCAAGAUAGAAAUAACUUAUCGGCUUCUCGAAGCUUGUGUAAUGUGAAUUCAAGGACUCGAUGGAAGUUGAAUCGCUUCAUCUAGAUUGCUUUCAGGAUUUUGGGUAACUAAAUUUAACAUUUGCACACACAAAUGUUAAUGUACAAAUGUUAAAUCUAGUUACCCAAGCAGAAUAUGAAGAUACUCUAUAGUAUAUAUGUACUAUAUAAAUCUAGUAAACAUUUAGUCUAAAUGUUAAAUCUAGUUACCUAAAAUCCUAAAAGCAAAAUGUAUAAAUAUAUAUCUUUUAAGGCAGUAUAAGCUUCAAUUCUCUGUUAAAUCUCAUCUUUCGUUGUGGCCCAACACUCUAGUAUGCAUGUUGCACCAAGCUUCUUUGAGCCGCUCUGCCCUCUGAUUUUGCUGCGUAGGGGAAUCUUUAUCAGGUUGGGCUACUUCCAGUUGUGCGAUGUAAAGCUUCGUAUCUUUUAGAAGGUAGACAAAAUACCCGCGUUCUGGAAGAUUCUGCAACGUGCACGUUGGCGCUGCCACCGUGGUUGCUUAAGCAAAUGCAUCCAACUGAAUCGUCCUUAAGCUGAAUAAUUGGAUAUGGUAUCCACUGCUUAAAGCUGCCAUGUUUAGUACGUCUUUGUUUUUCUCUCUUUAUAUUCCAAUAAGGUCGGUGAUCUUGAUGCCACACACUCAGAUGUGUGUUUAUCUCCAGAUACUACUCCAUGCUACCUACCCUUUGUGUUUUGUUCAAUAACUGGGUAUCAUAUCCUAGCCAGUGUGCCAUCUGUUUUGUGUUUGUUUCCUUCUAGUUCCAAAGGGGUCAUCAUGAUGUUACCUUCUUUUGAGGUGUCUAUGAUGACUUCGUUAAUAUCAAUAUUAACCAAUUCAAUCUGUCUUAACUAUUUGUAAGGGGUAUGAUGUAUGCAUGAUUAUAACAAUGAUUGCGCAUACAAUCGCCGCCAAAGAAACGGUCAAUACCAUUAAGACAUAUUACAGACAAUUCUCAUAAUCUAUAAUGAAUAUACAUAUUCACUACUGCAGAAGACUGUCAUUUGUAUCGGCUCAUACGUGCCAGGGCAAAGGUCACCCUUGCAUUAAGUACAUUUGCACGGUAAAGACAACCAACACGAAUAAUGAAGUAAACAUGCCGGUGCUUUUGUACACCAACACGCUUACUUAAAUGUACUGGUGUCAUUCCUCACCGGUAGCCGGCUUGAAAAUUAACCAAUUAGAACAAUUAUUUAUUGUAUCGGUGUGAUUUUUGACCUAUUGGAAUAUGAAUUUGACCGUUACUGCAUUCGUCAAGACUCAAGAGAGAAAUAACUGAUCGGCUUCUUAGAGCGUGUGCAAUGUGAAAUCAAGGACUGGAUGGAAGUUGAAGCGCUAGCACUAGUAGAGAAACGACUUUCCAUCCACCCCCUUUUGUCCCGGUUUAAAGUUGGCUCGGGAUAAAAGGUUCACCAACCGGGACUAAAACUCAGUCACUGGUGGGAGGCUCACCAACCGGAACCUUUUAUCCCGGUUGCAAAGGCUAAUGGGAAAAAAAGACUCUGAGAGGCCUUUUAUCCCGGUUUGAAACACCAACCGGGAUAAAAGACCCCCCUUUUAUCCCGGUUGGUAACACCAACCGAGAUAAAAGGGUCAAGAGCCUUUUAUCCCGGUUGGAAACACCAACCGGGAUAAAAGACCCCCUUUUAUCCCGGUUGGUGUUUCAAACCGGGAUAAAAGGGCCCCCACGAGGUGACUGGAAGGUGACUGGAAGGGGAUUAAAUCGUGGGGGACCCUUUUAUCCCGGUUGGAAACACCAACCGGGAUAAAAGGGGGUCUUUUAUCCCGGUUGGUGUUUCCAACCGGGAUAAAAGGGUCCCCCACGAGUUAAUACAAAAGGAUAGUAUCCCCUACAUAGUCAGAUGUGGUGUGUAGGUGGGAUGGUAAGGAAGCUACGCGCGAGCUCCGGAAUUUUUUUUUUUUUUUUUUGCAGCGUCGGCGCUCUCUACCCUUUUAUCCCGGUUGGUAUUACCAACCGGGAUAAAAGGGGGUCUUUUGUCCCGGUUGAGUGACCCGGGAUAAAAGACCCCCCCUUUUUUCCCCGGUUAGUUUAUCCCGGAUGCAUUUUCGGGAUAAAAGCACCCUACCAACCGGGAUUAAAGCUCACUUCUCUACCAGUGUAGCUUCAUCUUCCGCUGCAAGUUAAUUGCUUGGAUAAGAAGUUGUAGCCGCUGCAAGUUAUAAAUAGUCCCGCUGAUGCUGUGCUCCGAAGUCUAUACUAUAUAUGCGGAAACUAGAUUGCUUUCAGGAUUUUGGGUAACUAAAUUUAACAUUUGUACAUAAAAAUGUUAGUUUACGAAUGUUAAAUCUAGUUACCCAAGCAGAACAAGAAGAUAGUAUAUAGUAUAUACUAUAUAAAUCAAGUUAACAAUUAGUCUAAAUGUUAUAUCUACUUACCCAAAAUAUUGAAAGCAAAGAAAGAAUAAGUAUAUAUCUUUUGUUGGAAAAUUGGUCCACGGAGAGGCCCAUUUAGGCCUCGUUCGUUUCACCGGGAUGGGAUUCCAGUCAGGAUUACUUCCAAGUUCGGUUUGAGUGAUUCCACCCGUGUCACUCAAUCCGGCUAGGAUUCAUUCUAUGGGUGAGGAGGUAUGGUUUCAAUCCAGGCCAUCUAAUGUAGAAGGAUUCCAAUCCAGGCCGGUUUUCGUUCCAGGCCAGACUAAAACGAACAACACUUUCAAUGCAAGUCUGGUUUCAAACCGGGCCAUUUCAAACCACCCGGAAUGGACCUCGUUCCAGGCCAAUCCGGUGAAAACAAAUGAGGCCUUAAUGGAAUCCCAAAGCAAGAGUUCAGUGGCAUUCUAUAGUCCCAUGCUGCUAGUUUGAGUUGGUCGAAGCCAACUUAAAUAGGAGAGCUCUCUCACUUCUCUAAAUACGUAACUGAAGGAGAGAAGGGGGCUUGGGUUACACAACGCACGCACGCACGCAUAUUUGCGUUCUUUUCGCGUAACCAACCGCGUGACUUGAAACUUGCGACGUAGCGUGCUGCUAAGUCAAGUUGAUAUAACCUUUUUGCCGUUUGCAUGUAAUCUUUUGACAACGGUCAUUGGAGGUGAUAAGCACGCAGUCAAUACCUUAAUCUUGAGUUAAUAGGGUGGUUACUACUGCCAAUUAGUGGGGCAAUUUUGUAGGGGAAACGGUUAGCAGAGGGCUACCGUCUUCUCUAUAAGAAGUUCUGGAGACGUCCAGGAACACACAUGUACAUGUGAGAGACCCACAAAUUCCUUCCCUUCUCCCUUUUCCAUGUGGUGAAGUGUGCUGUGGUACUGAGCUGCUUGAUCUCGCCGCUCUUCUCCUUGGCAUGCACCGAGGAGGAGGGUGAGCGGUAUCUCCGAGCUAUUGCCGUCAGGAAGCCUGCACGAGGGACAACAAAAAGUUUUUGGGUAGCGCAACUGCCAGCACAACUCUCCCUCCGCCUCUUCUUCACGGUUGAUGGCCACCACAAGCAUAAACCUCGCCUUCGCAUCCACGCAAAAGGGUCGCUGGGGUGCCUUCUUGCAUCGCUUCUCAGCCUCCUUGACUUGCGGCCAGCCAAGAACUGCGCCACCACCUCGGGUGCACGCCACCACUCCAGGGCUGCUACCCCAUGCCUGCGGCCGCCGCCGGCCACCACGCGUGUGCAACCGCGUCGCACCGCUUCCUUGCUUUGUGCCACCACUGCUGCUGUACCACCAGCUCCACCACCUUGGGCUGGUCGCCAGAGUGACUGAUAACUUAUUAUCUGUAACUACUAUUAACUCAGGGAUACAUGCGUCUUUUGCUUCUCCUACUAAUAUGUCCUAAAAUAUCUAGGAUGCCUUAUAUUUCUGGACAGAGGAAGUAUUUGAAUAAAAUGAACCAAUUUAAAAAAAUGUGUUGUACACUACUACAGAAAGACCUAUCAGUGUCAAACCCAAAAAUGUUGUCACCGCCAGUUUUGGGCAUCAUUGGUGAAAGGUUGGCGGUGAUGGGCUUUCCCUUCAACAACGGCACUGGAGCCGACGGUGAUUGACAUUAGAAAACAAAAAAGGGGACCCUACCUAGCCACCCCUGCAACCCGGCCGGCCGUGCCUCCCCUCAUCCCCACCACCUCGCCUCCCCAUGACCCCCCGCCGGCGCCCUUGCGCCUAGCCCCCUCAACUGCCCAGCCGGCCACCCUCAUCACGAGAGAGAGGUGCAUGUUGUAUAAUUGCGUGAAUUUUUUAAUGUUUAAUUUCAUGUAAGUUCCGUGUAAUAAAUUGUACAAGUUUUAUUGUAUAUAUGAAUUCCAUAUAUAUAUAUAUAUAUUUAUAAUUUAAUGUAUGGUUUCAUGUGUAUAUUUCAAUCAUGUGUAUAUUUAGUAGAUUGCCGAUUUUCUUUUUCUACUAGACAAGGGUUGAUGUAUAAUUACGUGUAUAUGUUUAUUGUACGGGCAAUUAGGACAAGUUUUGUAUAAAUUUCUUUUAUUUGAUGGUUGUUGUAUGGUUUCAUGUAUAUACAUUUAUUGUACUACUUUAGACAAUUUUUAAUUUAAUGUUUCUAUGAUUAGAUGUGUGUAUAACUAAUUGUAUUAUUAGUUAAGAUGGGAGCUAAAGAGGAUGAAAGGUAUAUAAUGGAGCAGAUUAUUGCUAGCUCAAACGUUGCAAGAACCUACACCGAGGGUGAGGGUAGCUAGGUGGACAUGUACCUCAACAUGUCCAGUGAUGGCAAUGACGAUGAGGAGCACGAGCAUGACAUCUAUGAUAAUGCGGAACAAGACAUUGCAGAAUUGGAAGGUUCUAAUGAGGUGUGCUUCAUGUUGACAAUCUAGUUGGCUUUUUUUCGUUGGUCACACCUUAGUUACCAUAGAACUUCGUCUCGGGAGAAGAUUGGUGGUGGUAUGGUGAUUGGAAUUUUAUUUCCACGAAAUCUGAUUUCCAUCGAAUCAUAUCCCUUGUAUUUAUCUUCUUUUUAUUUGUGAGAGCAUCUUCUUUAUGCUUGCAAAACAAUUCAAGUGCACAUACUACCCCUAGGGUGACGAUUGGGAGUAGAAAUAAUUGCCAACAAAACAACACCACAUCCUAAGAUUCUUAACUUGUGGCAUAAUUAGUCUAGUAAAAAGAAAGAUAAAAACCUAAUGGGUGUAUGUGAGUGCAAUGUGUAUAUGCAUAUGAGUGGAAGGCAUAUAAGCAAAGACAAUAUUUACACAUAGUUCUAAACACCAUGUUUACAGCUAGGUUGCUGAAUUUCUCCAUAGCCAUAGAGAUUAAUUAACCAAGGUCAAAACACGAUGUCUAUCCCAAGAUCAGUAAUUAUUUAUAGCACAAGAAAAAGAAAGCGCAUUGCAAAGUUUAUAAACCAACCAAUACAGCAUGAAAACAAGAUGAAUAGCUAGCAAGGUUUAUUAAACUGAAUGAUGACGGUCUGUAAGCAAGUUUAAACACCAUCUUUACACAAGAUUGCAAAUGGAAAAUGCCCAUAUGAAGCACUAACAUGGAUAUGAAAUCAUUCAUCAUAAAGCGUAAAGAACAACCAAGCCAACCAUAUGCAAAGCAUGAAUGGAAUGCAAUGAAGGUGCAAGAGAACAUUUUUGGAUGAACACAUUAUGAUGAUGGCAAAAUGCAAUGCAUGCAGAAAAAAUAAAUAUGAACAUGAAUAUGAUGAUCAGGGGCGGACCCACUAUUGUGGCCUGGGUAUUCCUCGGCAUACCCAAUAUUUUUGGGAAAAUGUUUAGUAGUUUUUAAUGGCAUAUACAUGUAUAAUAUAGUUUAGGUGUUAAAAUUGAUAUUCACAGCUAUUUUGGGCUCCAAUUCGCGUCCAAACCAACCUGGCCCACAGACCGCACCCGGCCGCCCGGCCCAUCGGCCCAUCUUGUCACUGAUCCUCCCACCACCACACUCAGCCCGUCAGUUAGUCAGGUCCCGAGCUCCUGCCUGACCUAGUCCGCUACCACCGCCAGGCGCCAGGCACAGCUGUACACGCCGCCCCCGUCCACCCACGUCCGCCGCACGGCCGCGUCGCGCCCCCCCCCGGCGCCCGCUGCUGCCAGAACCCAUUAGGCCUCCACCGGCAAGUCCACCCACAGUCCCGCGCGACGCGGCAGCCUCUUGGCUCUCGGCGCUCGCGGCGCGCCAAUGCCUGCGCAGCCCCAGCAGGCGACUGCCCCCCCCCCCCCCGCAUCGGGCCUCGGCCCCUCCCCAGCUCCCCCUCCCCCCUCCACCAGGACUGCCUGCUGGCCCCCACCGCGAGGUAAUCGAAAUGGACUGCUCAAUCUCUCAAUCUGUUGACAUGAUGCACACGGUUGCAAAAAUAGAUGUGUCAAAAUAGAUGUAUUGCCAAUUGCUAUAGAUGCAUAUGGUUGACAUGAAGAAGUCAAAAAUGACAUUUGGUUCCUUGUAGGCAGUCAAAAAUGAAGAAGUCAAACAAUAUUGAUCUGAAAUCAAUGCGGGAAAGGGCUACGAAGACACACGGGUAGAUUCCCUUGUGAACUUUUUAUGUCGUUCGUCUAAAUAUAUUUUUGCAAUGGGCAUACCCUACUCUGAAAUCCUGGGUCCGCCACUGAUGAUGAUGGUCUAAACAUAAAACAAGCCUAGAUUAAUUAGCUACAACUGAAAUUAAGCAAAGGUUAAUGUCAUUGACCCUAGCUCUAUCCUAGCUUUUACUAAAGUCCCGGCACAUAUAGUGGUUGGGCCCACUCUCUCUACUUCCCUCUCUGCUGCAUGCACACACACGAGCAACUGGAGGCCCAACAAAGCCCAGAAGGGUUCGGCCGAACCCGUCCGAUCCAGUCUGAGCGCCGCUCCCUCCCAGCCUUCGCGCAGAUGCUCCUCCAACGUUCCUUGACCCCUCCCUCAGUGUCCCAUUGGGUUUAACAUUGUAGGAGAGGAGUCCCUUUUUUAAAAUCUCAACCACCUCCUCUCCUCAUUCACUCCACUCUCAUCUCCAUCAAACUCACCAAGAUCCACAUCGGAAAUACCUGCUUACCACCAUGGCUGGCAAAGCCCUCGUCCCUUUCACCAACUUGGGCUUGACCAUUGAUCUCGAUGGGAAAAUCACUCCAGCAAAUGUCAUUGUCCCUGUCGGCGAUCUGGCGAUGGAGGAGGUCCAGGCACUAGAGGUCGAGCCCCUAGCCAUCAUACCGCCCAAGGGGUAAAGCAGGAGCAUGACAGGCGCUGCUAGGGGUUCAGCCGAACUCCCAGUUCAGCCAAACGAGGACGGCGUCGCCUCGGCCUCCCGCUCGACUGCAUGCUUCCCCUUGCCAAGGAGGACUCCAGAACAGCGGGCGCGUGCGUCAAGUCCCUACAAAAGGCUGAAAUACAAUGAAUAUCCAGGGUCACCCUUGAAGAUGGGUGAACGCUACGCCGGGUCCUUGUUUGACUAGUACGGCGAUGCAUUCUGCCACCGCUAUGUCGUUGUCGAGAUUAGCGGAUCAAGACUUAGACUAGUAAAUUUCUUUUAUGCGCGUAAGGCUUCAGAUGGUGGCGUGGGAGACAUGGGUUUUAUACUAGUUCGGGCAAUGGAAUACCCUACGUCCAGUGUCUGGAGCUGCUUGUGUUGCCCACGCGGGGUUCUGUAGUAGGGGUUACAGGUGUGCGAGAGAGGGAGCUAAUCCCAGGUCUCUUAGGCGUGUUCCGGUCCUCUAGAUGGGAGAAGUGUGUUCUGUUUGCUUGGGAGUAUCGGUUGUGUCUGAGUUGUCUCCGGAGCCUCCUCCCGUCUCAGGUCCCCGAUUCUCCUUUCAUAGCACAAGGAGACCAUCGGGGUUACAGACGAGACCGAGCGUGGGGAGGAGUAAAGAGAUAAACAUAGCUAGGUAAAAAUACAACAAGAAAGGGGGGAACCAAGUUUCUAGGUCACCGGCGUCCUCGCCGGCCUUCGACUUCCGCCGGCGCAUUUGUCGGAGGAGGGUGGCCGCCAUCGCGUUCUGUCGAUGGCUUCCUCGGUGACUGUAGCCACCGGGCGUGAUGAUGGCAUUUCGUCGUGACCCUUUGUCUGUUGGGGGAGGCGGCGGAUCCUGCCAUUCUGCUGACGGCUCGCGGAGUGCGAACGUCGCAUCCCUGCCGCUGGGCACGCGGGGCGCGAGAACGUGCGAGGCUUCCCCCUACCCCAGGCGGCGCAGGCCAUGAGUGCCCUGUGGCAAAUCGGAGGAGGCCGCAGCUACUGUAGCUUGUACUGUGCAGCCACGUAUGGGUACUUGUGGCAGGUUGCGUGGUGGAUGCGGAUAUCCUUCUCCCUGACAGAUCUGCGGCGCAUUUAUGGCGAGAUCGACAUGGGGACCCACAAGACCCGCGCCCAAGGCGGAUACUUGUCUGGAGGGCCCGGGUUAGCCUGACCCCCUACGCUUGGGGUCGGGCGAGGCGGAGACUUGCGGCGGGGCGUCGGACGCUCCCGACACUAGACCUGCGGUCGCGCAAGGCGGAGCUUGGUCUUCCGGGGGUCGGGGGUGCCGGACCCCAGGAUGCGGGGUCGGGCGAGGUGGAGCGUAAUUCUUGCCUCCCAUGUUGGGCCGAUGGCAGUCUUUGUUACCUCUAGUGGGCUUGGGCCUUUAUGUUUUGUUGUUUCCAUGGGCUUCGAGAGGUCGUUAAUAUUUCCCCCCAACAGUAGCCCCCGAGCCUGUGGUGGAGUGGGGGCGCUCCUCCGGAGGCUACUAUCAUCGCCCCUAGGGAAUCCUCGCAGUUGAUCCGGGAUAGGAGGUGUUGUUUGCACGGCUUGACCGAGGGGGUCGAUUAGGCGACGCAUCCUGUGAGCGACUCGGUGCGGGAGGGUUUCUUGUUGUUCCCUUCUGUCUGAGAGCCUUAAGUCGAGACCACCUGCGUGGCCUUUGGUUGCAAGGCCAGCCCCCGAGCCCCCGCACGUUGCAGGGGACCGGUCGGAGGCUAGGUCGACUUUUGUUCAUUACCCUCAAGCGUCUGUUCGCUAGGACGGAGGGGGCGAGCCGUGCCAUGCUAUCCUCAUCGGACGAACCAUGGUGCUCAUUGAGUUACUAACGGGUUGAUUCGAGUGGGAUCCCGGUCCCCGUUCGGGGGGGGUCCGGCUUGGGCCAAGCUGGUGGCGUACCCCAGGCUCCGGUCGGCCAGUUCAUAUAGUUCCUGAGUCCGUUCGGUCGGACCGGGGGCUCAUUGCCUUUCUUCGGGGAAAAACCAUGAACUUUGAUGCCGGUCCAGACUCGAAUGUGAGAUUGAGACGCCCGGGGCUGUCGCGUGCCCGGGUGAUGGCCGCUAGCGGACCCGUCUCCUCUCACCCCUCACUCGGGGGUAUCCUGAGGCGGCUGUCGAACCCGUGGCGGGCCAGCCUUCGAACCUCUGGAUCGUAAUGGGCCGUAGGGGCGUUUUCAGCCCCGUAUCCCUUUUUACCUUUUGGUGGGCCUUGGGCCGAAUCAUGGAGGAGGUCGGGCCUUGGGCCGGAUGCGGAGGAUGUCGUGCCUUGGGCCGGAUGUGGGGGACGUCGUGCGUGUCUUCCGGGAGACGAAGUGGUGGAGGGUGCCAACCCGCGAAUCGAGGGAGGAGGGGAUGUUUCUACUGCAGGUCAUGCGCACGGUUUCCGAAAAGGCAGCGGGCGUGACGGGACGUACCUCGCGCCGCAUUUAUUGCGAUGGGGGCGUCUGUUCUGCUUCCCUCGUGCCUUCCCUAUAAAACGAGGACUUCGCCUCGCCGGUUCCGCCCGCCAUCUACCUUCAAGCCUUUUCGCCUCCUCGCGCGCCCUUAGCUUUCCUGUGCCCGCUUCGUCUUCCUCCGCCCAGUGCCGCGCCCUUUCUCCCCAUCCGCCGUCGAGUUCUUCUCCCUCCGGCGAUGGGAUCCUGGGCGCGUUCCCACUUCGGCCCCUCACGCGCCGAAGGCCUAGUGAGGAAAGGCCUCCUUUGCGAGAGGACGGAGACGGAUGAGUGGGGGUUCCCUGAGAUGGAAGAGGUGCCGACUCCGCCCACCGGCUACGUCGUUUCCUUUGCCCACUUCCACGAGAGGGGGUUUGCGACUCCGCCGAGCCUCUUCUUCCGCGGGCUUUUGUAUUACUACGGGCUUGAGCUGCAGCACCUCAACCCCAACGGGAUUCAGCACGUCGCGGCGUUCGUUGCGGUGUGCGAGGGGUUCCUGGGCAUUGAGCCCAACUUCUCGCUGUGGAAGUACUUCUUCACGGUCAGCCUAUACCAGAAGGCCGAGAAGAGGGGAAGCCAGCAGCGGUCGACCCCGGUGCCGAUAGGGUGCGUCGGAAUCCACCUCUGCCAUACUCGCGCCAAGGAGUAUAUCGCGAUGAAGACCGCGGCAUCCCACAAGGGGUGGCACCAGCAAUGGUUCUACGUGAAGAACUACUCCAACCCCCCCUGCCGGAGUUCACCGGCCGCAUUAUUGAAGCGGCGCCGGAGGUGUGGGUGUACGGCCCGGUGGAGAAGGAGAAGAAGCGGAUCACCGGCCUGCUGCAGGCCAUCGAGCACCUGAAGGAGAGGGGACUGACCGGAGCCGGAGUCAUCGGGGCGUACCACGCCCGGCGGGUGGCGCCGCUGAUGCUCCGGGUCCGCUCGCUCGCCGACAUGACCCCCGGUGCUCUCACCGAUGGCACUGUCCUCGCGACGGGUGCUCUCGCUGCCUCCGAGAUCCGGCAGCGGAUCCGGGAGGCGCUGGAGGACAAGGACGCCGAUUACCCGGUGCCCGGCCACCCUCCGAUGCGCCCGGACGAGAAUUUCAUUGAUCUGGUAAGGAUUUUGCGCGCCAGUUUCCCUCUCUUGCGUUUCUUGGUAUGCCGUUCUGACGCGAGGCCCUCUGUGUUUGCAGGGUAGCAUGACCCGGGUCGUCGACUUGCGUCCGCCAGUGUCGGAGGACGCCGAGUGGCGGUAGCAGAACCGUCUCCUUGCCGAGAAGCAAAAGUGACGCAAGGACAAGAGACAGCGAAGAAGAAGAAGAGGGCCGCCAAGGAGUUCCAGCGGCGGCGGUGGGGAUAGGUCGUGUCGGAUGACGAUGACGAUGAGAAGGAGGAGGAGGAUGACGAGGAGGAGGAGGAGUUUAUCCUGUCCCCCCGGUCAGGGGCGCUUGUUAUCCGGGAGCCGCGCUCCCAAGCGGCCAUGGGGGACAAGGCGGGCGAGCUGCCUGCCCGGACCCGAUCCUGCGAAGCUUUGGGGGCGCGCCCCAGGGGUCGGCGCAGAGCGCCCCCCGGGGGUCGACGGAGCCGACCCCCAUCCCUACACCUGCAGCCCAGGAGCAGAGGAGCAGCGACAAGCGGCCGUUGCCAGAUGCCCCGGGGUCGGCGUCCAGCUCAGAGGCGAAGCGCGCGCGCCGCCCUUGCGCUGGGGGAACGUGAGUUGAAUUUCCUUGCGAAUCUCGUUCCUUUCCAUGCAUUGUGUUUGUUUCCGCUGAUGCUGUUUGUUGUCUCACAGCACCGCCCCUCAAGGCCUUGUCCCGCCGUUGGCGCCAAAGAAGGCGUUGCGGUGUUGUCGCCUCUGCGGGGCGGACCGCGGCUCCGCCGGCGGCGAGUGGCGGGGUCACUGGUGAGACCGCGGGUCCUACCGCGGAGGUGGCCCCUGCGGCGGCAACCGGUGGAGUGGUGCCACCGCCGGGCAUGGGACAGGGUCUGGACCCCGCUCCGUCCUCCGCCUCUUCGGCCGACCCCGCGGUGCAGAGUAUCGCUCCUGGGGGCCCUCAGGCCGGGGAGGUGAUUGACCUCGACGCCGACGAGGUGGAGGAGACGGCGGCGGUGGAGACGGGGGCGGUUGCCCCAGCGGCCAUGACGGGGACGACGACGGCGACGGGGGAAGGAGAGUCUACCCCCGCGGCCACGGCGGGGACAGUGGCGACAGAGGAGGCGGGGACGCCCGCCCCGGCGGCUGCGACGGAGGAGGCGGCGGUGACGGAGACGGGGGCUUCCGCCCGGGAAGCCACAGCCGAGGUGGCAGCGGCGACGGAGGUGAAAGUGCCUGUUCUGGAGGCCACGGUGGGGGUGGGGACGCCUGCCUCGUGGCCACGACGGAGGGCGAGGCGGCCCCAGGGACACUUGCUCCGGCACCCGCGUUGGAGGCGGUGGCGCCGACGGGUUGGCCCGUGGCGGCCUCGACGGGGGCGGGGGUGCGUGCGCCGGGACCGUCGGUGAGGCCGGCGACUUCCGGGAUGGUGGUGCCCGUCUUGACGGCGGCGGCGGCGCGGUCGGCCCCCGCCCUUGCCUCUACCACUCCCAUUCCCAAGGCGUGGAGCGGAUCCGUCCUGCGUUGGUCGUCUCGUGACGACCCGCAGAGGCCCCUCUUCACGUUGGAUGAUGCCACAGAAUGGGGCAAGUGGCAGGCGCUGCAGGGCGGACUCGCUAACGUCCGCGCCGCUCUAUCUUCGGCGUUGGGGGAGCUGGACGGCGUCAUCUUCCCCGGUGGCCGGGUAUGGUGCUUUCUCCGUUGGUUAUUUUCUUCCCGUUACUUCGUCCCUGAUGGCACAUUGUUCUGCAGGCCCUCCAAGAAUGUAGCCGGGGAAAAUCUGAUUUCCUUUGGCUCGAGCAGGGGCUCUGGGAGCGCUUCAACUUGGAGUUGCAGCGGACCGGGGAGCUGACCAUGCAAGUCGCCACCGUCUAGCAUGUCAUCGACGAUCUGCGAAGGCACGAGCAGGCGGCACAGGAGGACGCGCGGCGGGCGGAGGCCAAGUUCCAGGUCGUUGCCGAAAGGGCUCGCUGCGACCGCGAGGAGUUCCAGGCCGUUGCCGAAAAGGCCCGCCACGACGCUGAGGAGCUCGCACGGCUGAAGGUGCAGCAUGAAGCUCUUCAGAAGAGCGGCAGAGGGCCUGGCAGGACCGGGACGCCGAGAAGGUCCGGAAGGAGGAGGCUGAGAAGGUGGCGGCCAACCUUGGGGCUGAGGUCAGCCAGCUCCAAGUGCAAGCGCGAGAGCUUCAGGCCUCCGUGGCCCAGGGGCUCGACCAGGAGCGCCAGCUGAAGGCCUAAUCCGAGGGUAUGACUCUGUUUAUUUCUUUGUCUUUGUGAUGUUGCGGUGAUAUUUUAUUUGGCGGGUUCUUCUGGAUGAUCCUUGCAGAUGAGCUCAACUGGCUGAGGGAGGUGCUUGACGCGGAGCGCGCUGAGCACGGCGACCUGCGGGACGCGGUCCGCGUCAUCUGUGACUUCCUUAGUGUGGUCCAGGGGGAGGGGACGAGCUCGCUGGCGGCUCGUGUCCUCGGGACGUACCGCCGGACCAGCGAGAUCGCCCUGGAAGCGCUUCGCACCGGCUUGAGGCAAGCCUUUGGGGUCUUCGGCUCCCACUAUUCCGGCAUCAACUUCGCCGGGAUGAGCGGGGGAUACGCCACCGGCUACUACGAGGCCGAGCUGGAUGAGAUCGACGUGUCGGUGCUCAGCCCGGCGGAGGCCUUGGUGAAGCUCCUCGAGGAUGAGGCCGUCCCGCCCGAAGAUCCCCGGACGAGUUAACUAUAUCGGGCUGGCGCCCCAGAUGUAAAUACGUUAGGGAAAGACUUGUUUUUUGUGAGGGCCGUAGAGGCCUUUUCUAUGAAUUGUCGUAAAAAAGUUUUUGAUUCCCUUUCUUGCUUUUUGGACUUGGAAAGUUUAGAGCACGUUGUCGGGCGUGUCAGUAAGCUUUGAUGAGCGAAGGCACCGUAGCCGCUGGGGCGUCGUUUUUUUUGCAGUCCGAUCAAUCUUGCCUGAACACCGUUCGUGCACUUUCUCCUUUUUAUGCCCAAAAGUUCAGAAAGAGGGUCGGCUCGGAAAGAGAAAGCGUUUUGAGAGGGUGUCAAGUGGCUUAGGUACUUGCGGCAGGUUGCGUGGUGGACGCGGAUAUCCUUCUCCCUGACAGAUCUGCGGCGCAUUUAUGGUGAGAUCAACAUGGGGACCCACAAGACCCGCGCCCAAGGCGGAUACUUGUCUGGAGGGCCCGGGUUAGCCCGACCCCCUACGCUUGGGGUCAGGCGAGGCGGAGACUUGCGGCGGGGGGUUGGACGCUCCUGACCCUAGACCUGCGGUCGGGCGAGGCGGAGCUUGGUCUUCCAGGGGUCGGGGGCGCCUUACCCCGGGAUGCGGGGUCGGGCGAGGCGGAGCGUAAUUCUUGCCUCCCAUGUUGGGCCGACGGCAAUCUUUGUUACCUUGGGUGGGCCUGGGCCUUUAUGUUUUGUUGUUUCCAUGGGCUUCGAGAGGUCGUUAAUAUUUCCCCCCAACACUAUGAGGAGGACUUGUGGGCAGAAAGUCAGCUACCACAAACUUGCCUCUGAAUAUUUGGAGUGCAAACAUUGGAUGGUGGUUGUGGAGAGCCCCAGCCAUACCUCGCACCCGUGGAGAGGUAAUUGUCGGAUUGCUUGGUUCGUCUCUAGAAUGCGACAAGGUCAGGCGCCACCUCUCACUGCUGCCAGUCAGAAGGCCGAGGGGCCAGUUUCAACAUAGUAAUGAGAAUCUCCGAAGGCCAAUAUGGUUAAGCAGCUAACCUCCAUGAUCAUAGACUUACGUUUAGAAAAUAGGAGGCUUAGCGAUGCGUUAACAGAGCAGAAGUUAGAAACAGAAGAACUUAAGGACGACUUCCGUGUCCUCCGCCUUGGUCUUUGUGCUAAGAUAAAGCGCUUGUACAAUGCCACGGGGAAUGACGGUCUCUACGAUGCAGCUCAAUAGACGUGCCCCUUGUAUCCUUUCCUUUAGGCACUUUAGAAUAUGUUUAUUUGUUUUCCUUCAUUUUAAUUUCCAAUAGAUUGUUAGCGCCUCCAAUUUAAUUUCAAUAAAGUGUAGACUCACCGGUCAUCCAACUUGAUGGAGUCCUUUUGUCACCUAGUUGUCUUUGGAAGAAGUAGCUGGGUACAAAAUAAGUGUGGGGGAGAGCCACAGACUCUCUAGAGCUGAAACAAUGCACAACACCCACAAAUAGAGAAAACCACGCUGCACCAGCACGUACGUGAAAGUGGAGCCAGAGCUGGACCCAUAGGGGUUUGGCCAACCCAAGGGGUGGCCCACUCGGGCCAUCUUCAUCCACCGCGUCGGUUUGUGUCUCUUUACCCCUGAUCUCCCUGAUUCAUGAGUUUGAAUGAAUUUUAAAUCUGAUCAACUAAUUCAAACUCAACUAAAAUGAAUCAACUGCUCCACCUGCUCUACAUGUUUUCUAUGGUUGGCUUGCAUAUGUUUUAUUUCAUGCUUAUCAUCUUGAUGCUUGUGAACAAAUAUCUUUAGGACAGCAUGCUCAUCUAAGUAGUUGAUGUGUAUGAUAUGGUUCGAUGAUAUGAUCUUCACUCUUAAUGCUUAAGUGCUUGGGAAAAUCUAUUUGAAAAUUUAAAAGCCUUUUUGAAAUCUCCUCUUUGAUGUGCCAAAGUCCUACCAAAGCCAUAUGAUAAGUUAUCUUGAAAAACCAUUUGCAUAUGUUGCUUGUCUUUGCAUUGAGCUUUGUCAAAUUGGUGUGACCCUUGUCACAAUUCUUUUCAUACUUUCAUGAUCAAGACUCAUGUGCACGCCAUAUACCCCUUGCUAUGCUUCUAUGAGAUGUUAGCAUUGUACCAUCCAUUCAUUCCACAAAAUAAAUGCUCCACCAUAUGUGUUGGUCUCCUUCUAAGAUUAUUGUUACAAAAGAGAUAUGGGCUAUCAAAAAAAAAUAUGAAUGUCCAAGAAAGUUGGACACAUGAAUGUCCAAUAAAAAGAAAAAGAAAGAUAGCCAUGUCCUCAGAAAUAUUUACAAAGGGAGAGAGAUCAUACAAAAAGGAGUUUCCAUUCCAUCCACCACAUCCAUACAUGUGCACAUCUUGAUCUGAUUGUAUGACUUAUUUUUCUCUUUGGAUCUGGUCUUUGACUUUGCAAUAUAUGUGAUGCAAGCAUGCCUUAUCCUUCAUAGCCUACCUUGAGCUCCACAUAUAGCCAUCAUUAGAAGUAGGAUGAAGAAAGGCAAGUCUAAUGCCUUGGUGAGGACAUAUACACAUUGAGUGAUCUGAGAGAAUCAAAUGAGGAGCUAAGCAAGGUUUUGUUUUGAAAACUAAUUGAAAAAUCCCAAGCUACUUGGCAUAAGGAGUUGAGGUGACUUGAUUCAAGACCAUUACAUUCCUCAACUACCCAAGAUGGCAUGAUAGACACUCCAAAGUUCACAAGUGCAGGUAUGGUUUGGAAUAUCUUUUAGGCUCGCUUCAUACCUUUGAAAGUUAUGUUUCACCUUAGUCCUUUCUCGUUCACUCAAGGAUAAGCAAAGGCUAAGUGUGGGGGUGUUGUUGAUGGCUCUUAAGUACAAAAUCUGCGCCAUCAACUCUUGCAUAAACACAUAAAAUAUGAGCAUCAACAAUAGUGGUAGGAGUUAUUACAAACGAAUUCCACAAGUCUUGGUGAAUAUUUGUAUGCAAGCCCAAUAGGAGAGAAAAGACACCUCAAAAGCAAGGAAACACACUCUCAACCAAUCAAGAGCAAGCACAUGGAACCAUGGGCCCACAACCAAAAGGAAAUCGACUACAUUCCAAACACCCUAUACCCACAUGAGAACCCAUAGGGCAGUGACCCAGAGCAAAGGUGAUGCCAGAGUGUAGAUGGUAGUUAGCAUGCCAAAUUUUGAACCGCAAGCGCUCGGAUUAGUUGUUUCUUUUCCCUUAGAGAUUCCCCCAAGGUUUAUCAAUCCAUGGAACAAGGGAUUUGCACGUUUCACUAAGCACUAAUCAAUGUAAUUGAAAGCUUUUCGAAUAAGAUAUGAUUAUGCUAACAAAGGAACUAAGCAAUCUAGAUUAAGAUGGAUAGAGAGUACAGGUUGUGAACAAGAUAGAUUAAACGCUUGUAGAUGCAAUCACCAUGCAUGAAUGAAUUAGAUCUAGGUGUUAUUGUGAGUGGUUGUGAACCAUGCCCAACACUUUCCCACCCGCAACAUUGUCACUACAUGUGGGUACUCAACUAUCGGAACAUAAGAACACAUCAAGAUGAUCAUUCUAGGUAAGCAAAUAAGCAACCCAAAGUAGCGCUGGCCAGCCUUUUCAUGAAAGAGCAUCAUCAAGAUAAGAUUGAUAACAAAAUAGAUCUCAACCAAAGGUUCAGCGAUUACAAAUCAAGAUCUUCGUAUAACCCCGAUGACAAAUAGAGGUAUUACCCCCAUGAUCUUACACAUGUUGAUGAAUUUUAGGGUAAAGGACACCCUGUAGAUCAACUGGACCAAAGAUGAUGAUGAACGGGGGCAGGGAAGGCCCAGGUUGAUCAGCCUGCGCACUUUUGAGCCGAUCAGCUCAGGGGGUUUCCUCCUCCCCUGGUGCUCCUCUUCGCGUGGCCUCCUCUGGAUCCAAUCUUCUCUUCAUUUCUCCUACUUGUGGCGGCAAUGGAUGGUGUUUGCAUGGUGAUUUCCUCUUCUCCCCAACUCUCCCUCCUUGAAGUCCAUGAGGGGGUAUUAAUAGUCUCCAAUAGGCGGCAGCUCUGGGUCAAUGUCAGUGAAAAAAUCCUAGAGAUCAUCGUACACUUCAUGCUGAGGAAACAAGAGGUUGACCGAGCCCUGGGAUAGACCAAGAGGAUCAUCCUAGAGGGUCCCAGGCUAAUCGGUCUAGGCCCUUCCUAGCCCUUCUAGUCCUCUCCUUCCUCGUGCUGGCUUUUCUCGAUGACCCUUGUCCAAAUAUCCAUGAAGCUCUAUAUACAUACCCCCUUGAUUAUGUUGUAUUUCCUGUCAAAAUACAAUGCUCCAAAAUACAACACAUAUGCAAUAAUAGGGUUAUUUCAGGUGCCAAUUGGUGGGUUAGUAUACGAAUAAGCAUGAAAAUACUGUUUAAAUGACACUAAAAGUGUGUCAAUAACGAGCACCAACAAUCCCCCCACGCUUAGAUCUUGCUCGUCCUCGAGCAAGUCUAGCGACUAAAAGAUCUUGAAUUAAACCUGAGCAAGCGAGUCAAGUACCUAGCCUUGAAACAAAAGAUUAGAGGAGCAGCAAAGAUAAUCAAAGUCUGGGUGUUCAAAGAUUUAUCUAAGCAAAGAUUCCCCUACAACUAUUAUUCAGAACCAAGUAACUUCAAAAAUCAACUACACUUAUUUUCUGGCUUUUUUCAGAGGGUUUUUCUUUCAUCAUAAAACAAUCUCCCUGCAACAAAAUUGAAAAAAGAAUUAUUUUCAAGGUGCUUACAUGUCGCUUAAAUGAAUGUUGGCUAUCCUACUUAUUUGCAAGCUCUCAUCUCUCAAAAUUCAUUCAAUUAUAUGGUGGAGUUUGGGUAAGGUUAGCUAGAAUCAACACGUAUAUUAUUGAAUUAAGAAAACCCUCUAACGGUGGCCUACCUUCCGAGCCAUUGAUCAUAAGAAUAUCCACAUAAUGUGAAGUUUUCAAGGAUGAGAAGAUAUAGAAUGGUGGACAUGUGCAAAGGCAAAGAAAUAUAGUGACUCUGAGGCACAAGCAAUGUCCUCGUCGUUGGAUUGCAUAUGGUUGUAAUGAAAAUAUGUUCCUUAAACAAGUCUAUCUUUUCUUUGCACCACUCUUGAUCUUCAUGACAGUAAAAACUCCUCCUUUAUUUCUUUCUCUCUUUUCCUAUUAUUUCUUUUUAUUUGUCUCAAUACUUUUAUUUCUUUAUUUCUUUAUUUUAAUCUCUUCUCUGAACCUCUUCUGAACACCACAUAAUAAAAAUAAGUUUUAGAUCCUUCCAGAGACCUUCCAGGAAUUUGCUACAUGAAAACCGAGGCAAGGAGACCCCAGGCCGAUUGGCCUAGCCACUCCUUUGCUCUCCUCUAGCUCUUCUUUCUGGUGAAGCUUCCUUAUCUUGUAUCUUUCCAAAAAUUUCAUAAAGCUCGACUAGAAACGGAACAGAUCUUCAUAUAAUGAGUUGUGUUCAAGGAAUUGGUAAUAAAAUUGAGAAAUUUGUGGUUCGGGUUUACGAAUUCAGUACAAAAAUAUGAUUGUUCCAAUGAAGAACUCUCAUUACUGAAUAUUGACGAGGCAAGCAUUCAAAGAUGGUAAAAAGGAUAUGAUCAAUUCUCAAAAUUAAAGCAAACCAAGAGAGAGCGAUCCUAAUUCAAUUCAAAGUGUCAAAUGUUGCUUAUGGUGGUAUGAAUAAAUAUUUUUAGGCAUUGGGUAGGAUAAAUAAAAACUCUCAACCUGGUUAAAAGAUAUUGAUCAAUCUUGUUUUUGCAGAGGUUUUAAAUAAAAAAUAAAAUUUUAAAUCACCUCCAAUUCAAAGCCUUACUCAUAAAUCAUAAUCAAAACUGAAGCACUUGAUCAUCAUAAAGCAUGGGUAUUGCAUAAACAAAUCGAUUACUAAAACUCCACAACUACGAUUUAGAAUUCAAGACAAUGCUCAUAAUCUAAAGUUGCAAAGAUAAAAUAAAAGACAACCAAGCCAAGGUAGACACUAAAAACACUUGCACGAUCCUUGAAUUUUAUUCAUGCUUCUUCUCACAAAGACGCUAAAGUAGCCAUGUAGGCCUAAGUCUUCCCAAAAGCUUAAGAAAACUACUACUUUAUCUACUUUUGGUUGAAAUAAAAAGACUAAUCUAGACUCUCACAUGAUUCGACUCGACCAAAUUAGAUCCAAAAACUCAUACGAGCGACGAUCUCCCCCCCCUCACGCUUAAAAUCUACGACCUCCUCGUCGUAGCCAUAUGGAGUACAAGGAAAAGAAGCUUGUAAACGCUCUAAUGACGCUACCCGCACUACUUGCACACGGGAUGGUUGCUGCUUCCUUCGCUUUGUUCUUCCUCAUGUUGCUGCACAUCCCGAAGAGCUUCCUCACGUUCCUCUGCAAGAACUUGAACUCGUCCUCCUGACGGCGAUCAUUAUCUUCUGCCUUUUGAUCCAGAGCUUGUAAGGCUUGCAUGAUGUCAUCGAACGCAUCGAAGAGGUAGUGGAUGUUCUUCCUGCAAGCUGUGGAACAUGUACGAUCAUGCUCCUCCGAUUCUGGCCCGUCGUCUUCUAGAUCCUUCUCUUUGCCCUUGUCUUGACGGUGGCUAUCUUGCUCCUUGCUCGCCUUCUUGCCUUCAGCCCAAUCCCAGUACGUGUUGUCAUCUUCUUCAUCGUCACGGCCUGCAGCACCCUAUGAUCCAUUGUCUAUCUUGUAUGAAAGAAUCAGAAGCUUGUUCUCCUCAGGGUGUCUUGCGCGGUGCAGCGUUUGCAAGUGCAAGACUUGCUAGUUCCUUUUACACAUUGUAAUGUUCAUUGCAUGCUCUAAUUGUUCUACAUUUGUAAUUUCUUGGUGAAGUUUGGUUACUGAUCCACUGUUUGAUUAACUCUUGGGCCCAAACACUGUACUACUUCUGAUUAGAUAUCUGUAUCUUGACUUUGACCAAAAAAAAUAUCCGGCAGUUUUUGCCAUUAAAGUUUCAUAAAUCAUCUUGCAAAAAUCGUACUAUACAACAAGGGACGGUUUAUUAUAAAAUAUACGUUCCCCUUAUCACAUGCCACUUCCACUCAAAAGGCAACGAAUCAGUUUUCAAUCCUGAGUGAGCAAUUUGCUUUUAUUACCGAUGCCUCCUAUUCCCUUGUGCACCAAGUUUAUUUUGGAUAGGGCUGCAAAAAACGACUAACCAGCUCGGAUUCUCCACCUGCAAAACCGCAUCUGCAGCAACCAACCCCACGCGGUGGAAAAAAAAACAAAACCUAGAAACCGGACGGGGGUGGAUGUGGGGCUCGGAGCCCAAGCAAAAAACGGAUCGGGAGCGCCGGAGCAGGCCAUCACCGGAUGUUAGAGAUAGAAAAUGGUUGAAGUUUGGAGUGGAAAUCAAACAAGCCUUGGAGCAAAGGAAAAAAAAAGAUCAAACCACUCAAGCAUUCAUUUGAUUUAGAAAAGAGAACAUUUGUUAAGGUGGGGAGUUGAAAUCAUCUUUUAAUUAGUUCCACGUAUCUGGUAUCAUUACAGUUGGUUUACUUGUGUAAGUAUAAGUAGCUCUGCCGAAGCCUUUGCUCCUAUAAUUUAGUAACUAGUACAAAUGGAUCAAUAGGAAAAUCAAGUUGCAAUCAUUUCUCAGCCAACCAAACCUAUGUAAAUCAAAUUAUUGUCCAUGCCCGGCAUGCACAGGUGCCUGCCAUGCAUGCAUUGUUGCUCCAUUGUAAUAACCAUUAUUGUCCAUCGAUGUUGCAGCGCAUGUGUGCACUGUGCAGACACCAAGCAUCGAGAUUAUGUACUAGUAAGGUGUUGAAAUAAUGGGCCUAGCCCAUAAGUAAUUUCAGAAUUUCAAAUAAAUCUCAAAGGCCCAUGUGGGCAAGAGGUGGAGUGGUGCAAGUCUUUAGUCCCACAUUGCUAGUCGAGGGGAGGGAUGACCAACUUAAAUAUGGAAGUUGUCUCCACUCCUCCAAGCUAUGUGUGAAGGGCGCGGGCGCGAGGCACUUGCGUGAAUGGUCCGCCGAAAUCUGGCCCCCCUUGCGGGGGCGCGGCUUCCUUUUGCCGUUUUAUUUUUUGGUUACUUGGUCGUUAAGUCAUGGAAUCCUAACCGGUUUAGAUCACGAUCGUGAAGGUUUUUGGGAAGCGCUCUGCGCGACUGCUCGAUCGCUUCUUCCGCUUCGUCAAGUUCUUCGUCGACUCCUUCACCACGGCUCGUCUACCUCUUCGUCGCUCGGGCCUCACUCGUCGUCGCGAACAACGUCAGGCUGCUGAUCGUCGUCGCCUGCUGUAUCCGGUAGUCGUCCAGGAGCCGGUUUUCAUCAAGAAAGAAACGUACGGUCUCUUAACUCACAUUAUGUCUUCCAUACUAGCUAUUAUGAUUGUUGCAGUCUGAUAGCUCUGGAUAGUAUGGUAGAAUGUCUGAUUCUAUUUGCAAUGAUAGACUUGUCUAGAUCUUGCGUAGACAUGUCUAGUUUAAUCUGCUGCUUGUUCAUCAUAUUCAUGAUUUAUUUCUGGAUUAAGUUAAAACUAAAAGUGCUUAUAUAUCCAACAUAAGGUACCAAGAACACGUGAAGCACCCGGGGGAGGCUGCUCCACUCCGCAUGCACAGGUGGGCACGGCACCACUACUCGUCUCCUUCAGGCUGAGGAUAAGUGAUGUACGCUGAUCAACAGACCACGACGGAACCAGCAAUAAUAGUUUCAGCCUGCCUCACAGUAAUUAAUAUAUCCUGUAUCCUCCGAGGACCCCUCCCCUUAAUCUUGGCCUAUUGCAUCCAAUAAUGAUAUGUGUGUUUAUCCAAAUUUACGGCACCUUUGGCGGGGGUUCCACCCAGCUCCGCCCUCUCCACCUUCGGUACUCCAUGGGAAACCAUUCCUUUGGAAUCAAGGAAGCUUGAACAGUAUAACGAAUAAAGUUUCAUAUAUCCAUUUGAUUUCACAUGAAAUAAAAUAUUCUGUCAGAACCAAUGGUUUCACUGAAGCUCCAGGCAGCGAGCGAAGGGGUGAGAGAGGAUAACGCUUACUGUGUGUUACCAUCGCGUGCACCAUGGAUGACCAACGCGCAGCCGAGAUGAAACGGCGGACCUAAACAGGUCCUCGCUAUUUUUGCAGGUUCUCGACCAGGCCAGUUCUUUAGGCCAACCUAUCAUUCACGAGUUAAACAUACGGUGGCUGGAGAAAUGUUCUAUUCUUUUAAACAAUACCAGCUGGUUCCUCCGUUUUUAUUCCACCAAUACAAGCACCACCUUGUAACAUUUCCUAUGUUUUUUUUCCUUUCGUCUGUUUUCUCACUACAUGCGUUGCUCUUUCAUGCAUUUUUUUCCAUUCCUGUAUUCCAAAUAGGUCUACAUGAACACAAAAUGAACUAGGGGACAGAAAAAGCCAGUGAAGUUAGUUUUGAGCUUCACCAGCUACUUGCUACAUAAAGUGUGCUAUAGUCGCAGAAAAGCUAAGCUGGAUCAGACGUGGCCGAAACAAUGCCAAAGAGCUAGGUCCCUAGCUGAUGGCAACACAUCAGAUGACUAGCCUGCUUUUCUGUAAUAAUGAUAUUGAGCAAUACACUGCAUGGCUAACCUGCUUUACAAUAAUUGUCAUUUUAUAAUAUUGGUCAUCACGAGAGAUGCACAUUGCAUACACCGGCCCAUCCCUAUAAAUAGCCAAGCCUUUCAGCCAUCUUGGGCACCUCCUCUCAGGGCCUCGUCUCACCAUCAGACAUCUCGUUCCCAGUUAUAAUUUGCGAGGUUAGAUCAGGCUGCGCCAUGGCGUCCGCAACUGCUGUCAAGAUCGUCGCCACCUUCAUGCUGGUGCUGACCAUGGGCCACCUGAUGGCCGAAGCAUCACCGCAGCCUCGGCGUGUGCUUGCAGAAACGGAGCAUGCUGCGGUGUCCGGGAAUCCUGGCCUCCCAGGUGAUGCUAGCGUCAUGCAGGUCCUCGAACCCGCCCUAGUUUCUCGGCUUGCCUGCAAACCAGAGUGCACAGUCCCUUGGCCUCCUUUUGUAUGUAUCUGCUAGAUCCUCUUCCUGGCUCAACGGAACUUCAGGGAAAUGGCUGUGACGUCGGCCAAAGAAUAAAUUGGAUGAACAUAAUAUACCCCGGGUAGUGUAGCUUGGGCUUUUGUUGAGCGUCUGGUGCUAGUUGUAUUUUGUUUGCUCAUGUGGCUUUGCUUCUGGUUGCAUAUUGGCUUUCCUAUCGCUCUCUGUUGCAGCUAUGGUUUCUGCCAGGUGUGUGUUAAUGCGGUUUGUAAGCGGUGCUUGUUCCUACCUUCUGUUUUCAAUAAAAGAAGUCGGAGUCUCCCUCCGACUCUUGUUAUCAGUCAACAAAAAUGAGUUGUAUCAUAUAUAUCUGCGUCUUUUUUCUACGUAUCUUUGGGCUGCUUCAGCUGGAAGUUUAUCGUAAGUACGUGUAUCAGGAUGAUCGUUUGAAUUAAAACGAAAUGAUAAUGUGUGGCUGCUAGAAAUGGAAUGAGCAUCUUACUAUAUUACUAAUUGGAAGCCUCCACGUGAAGCCACCUAGAAAUUCUAGGUGGACGUUUUAAAAAAAACAAAACUCAUAGAAGCCUCCACCACCUAGGAAUCCUAGGUGGACACUCUAAAAAGAGACAAAUCCUAGAAAUUCUAAAAAAAGAAAAAAAUAAUAACAAUAAGAUUUUUUUGCAGUCAAUUACAUAUAUUUUUUUGAGACACCGUGCUGCUAGCUCUUGCCAUUGCGACCAGUAAAGCAAGCAGAUAGUAAGAUGACAUGCGUGUGGAUUGAUUAAAACAAAUUCAGUUAGUUGAUUCUAAAUCGUAUGUAUCCUAAAAGGAAGAUAUGUGCGUGCAUGGUCCCUAGCGAUGACAUGUAGACAUGUAUUGCAAUUUCUUUUUUAAAAAACAUGUCUAUCUCUAAACCAACAAACAGAAAAAAUAUCAAUCUAAAUCUAAAUCUCUUCCGUUCUCACACGCCUAUUAAAGAGAAGACAACCAAUCCCAUCCAUGUUCCAUAGAAUCCAUCUAAAAGCUUGCUCACUGCGGACGGCAUUUGACGGCAAAUCAAUGAAAGAUCAUCCUCUCCAAAUAGCUGGACGGCAUCACCAUCUUUAUCUCACCAACCUACAGAGCUACAACGAUGUUGUAGAGAUCAACUAGGUAACCUACCAAUCACCCUCCCCUUUUCUAUAUGCUCUAAAGAACACGUGGAGUAAUUAUAGGCCUAUAGGAGCCGACUAACCUAGAUUAAUAUGAAAAAUAUUCCAAUAUUAAAAGCAAGCAGAUAGUAAUACUUGCCUUUGACCAUUUUUCUAGAACUGUUAUUCCUAUUGAAUGUUCAAGUGCUACGGCCAGGCAUCGAAUGCCUGCACGGAACCUUCCUAUUGAAUGGUUACUCUAGAGAUCAACGCACCGCGAGACAUUUUUAUGGAAUUUGUUUGAUUCCCCUUCUACAAUUAGAUUAAUUUUUCAUGGCAUAUAUUACUACUAUUAAAUUAUUUGUUUAUUGUCGGGCCUGCUGCAUGUGUGGUAUAUAUGACUUGCUUCUCACCAUUGUUCUCAAACUAUUAUUCCUAUCGAAUCUUUCUAUCGAAAUAUAUUUUAAUUACUUGAUUGUUGUUUGUGUACCAUAACUUCUGUAUAGAAAAAUUCCAUGUUUGUAGAUAAUGUCUUUUGUAUAGAAAAAUAGCCCAAUUAGAUCCAUCACCAUCUUUUGCUUAUGUAGUUGAACAAGUUGCAAUGUUGAACAAAACUUUAAGUGAAAUUAGACCAGGAAAAGGAAUUGUGGAACAUUAAGGCAAGGGUAACCAGAUUGUGGAAUGCAACCUUACUCAGUAGUGGCGAACAAUUAAGUCUUGACAUGAUCCUUAUUGAUCAAAAGGUAUGAUAGAUGUUCACUUUGAUUGCAUUAUUGGUAUAAUUUUUGGUUUACAAAUUAUUAAUGAUGAUGCAAAAUUAGGGAACCAUGAUCCACGGUGUUAUCAAUAAGCCCUAUAUGAAAAAGUUCAAACCAUUGAUUGAAGAAGGCAAUGUGUACAUAAUUGCAAAUGUCAGAAUCACACCAGAACCACAGAAGUAUCGGCCAGUGGAAAAUGACAGGAUAGUCAACUUCUUACCCACAACUGCACUAAAAACGAUCAAAGAUACUGAAGACAUUCCAAAGUAUAGUUUUAACUUCAUGAGCACGGAUAUGCUUUCAGCAAGAAUAAAUGUGGACAUGUACCUAUUAGGUAAAACAUUACUGGCUUUUCAAUUUUUACACUUCCACUCAUUAAAUGACCAUCUAAUAAUAAUACAUAUUUAUGUUUCAUAGAUGUUAUAGGUAUCUCAGCUCACAUUGGACCGAUAGAAGAAACAAGGACAAACUUCGGAUUUACUAAAAUCCGUGAUAUUGUGCUCCUGAUCGAGUAAUUCUCUUUUCUUUUGUAGAAAACAACUACAAAACUUUCAACAUUUACAUGUAUGUUAUAGAACUUCUGUUGAACUAAAAAAUAUCUUCUACAGUGCCCCUACAAAUAAUUAAUUUCGUAGUUGGAUAUUUAAAAUAUUUAUUAUUCACUUUUAAAUUUGUGGCCAUGAAGUUAAAGUUAGAUUUUGGGGAGACAAAGUUGAGGAAGUUGAUGAUAAGACAAAAUCCCAUGUCAUUGCAAUAACAUCUACAACUGUGAGUAAAUUUGGCAGUAAGUCUUCAUUCAAUAUGAGUUAUUCAAUAUUAGUCAUUCAACAAACUAACCUCGUAAGAAAAAUAAAUAAUUGAUGUUUUAUCAGGGUAUUCUCUAUCGUCAACCAAUGCAACAAAACUUUAUGUAGAUCUACCUAUUCCUGAAACUAAGGAUGCACAUGAUAGGUGAGAAAAAUUAGAUAUUGUUUUUCUAUUUUAAUCUAUGUAGCAUGCACUCUAACAUGAUACAUUCUUUCAUAUGAUAAAAAAAUGUUAGUUCAAUUGAAAAUAUUGUCAAAGAGAUUCAUAUUGAGGACCAUCUAAAAGGGACAUUGGAAGACCAAAUGCAGUACAAUAGAAGAACUUUAGAAGAAUUAAAUUUCAUAUUAUUUGAAACAUCAAAUCAGGUAUGGAUUAGUAUGUUCAUUGUACACUAUACUAUUUAAAGACUUACAUACAUAAUGAUGGUAUUGUUCCUACUUUCAGGAUGAGGUAUUUACUAUUGAAGCAACAAUAAAUGAAAUUAAUGCAACAUAUGGUUGGUUGUCACACCCGAUUUUAAGGACAAAAUUGAGUGCAUUAAAUACAUGUGCACCAGGAUCAAGUUACACACAUCCUAUGAGUACCGUCCUUCUUUGGCACAAAGAUAACCGGUGCUCCCCAUGGUGAUGAACUAGGCCGAAUAAACUAUUUUGCUGAUAAUUCCUCUAGUUGUUGUUUCAAUUCUUUUAAUUGUUCAACCAACAUUCUAUAAGGACGUUUGGAGAUAGGUGCAGUACCAGGUAAAAGAUCAAUAGCAAAUUCAAUGUCGCGGUCAGGUGGCAUACCUGGUAAAUCGUCGGGGAACACAUCCGGAUAGUCACACACCACUUUGAUAUCUUCCAAGGAUUUUCCAGCCAACUGAUUAACUGCACAAUCUGCUGCUGAGGGUAGAGUAGCUACAAACUCCACUUUCUCUCCAUCAGGACCUGUUAGCAGAACUGUCCUCUUGGCACACUGAAUCGUUGCAUCAAAAGCGGCUAACCACCUCAUCCCCAGAAUUACAUCGAUUCCACUGGACUCAAGGACGAUAAGAUCAGCCGGAAACUCUAUACCCAUUAUUCUCAGUUUAACUUGUGGACAGAUGUAUUGAGCCUUCAUUGACCCCCCAGGUGAACUCACUAGCAUAUGACGCCUCAUGGUAUGCAUGGGUAAAUUAUGCUUUGCUACAUAAUGACUAGUGACAAAAGAAUGCGAUGCUCCAGAGUCAAAUAAAACUGAUGCGGGGGCAGAGUUGACAAAGAACAUACCAAGCACUACAUCUGGAGCCUCCUUAGCAGUCUCGGCUUCCAUGUGGUUCACCUUGCCACAAACAAAGCUUUGCUGCCCCUGAUUGCCUUGUGGGGUCUGGUUCCCAUUCCUCGGUUGCUGCAUCUGAUUCUGCCGAGGAGCACUGCUGUUCUGCACGGGGGUAGCUGGCCCACCUCUCUUAGGACAAGAGCUGGCAUAGUGACCAACCUCGCCACACUUGAAGCAGGUAGGACCCACUGGAGCAUUGGGCCUUGUUGGAGUGCCAGUAGGGGUCAUCUGGCGGUUCUGCGUAAAGCUUGGGCGCGGAGUCUGCAUAGUCUGCAUCCCUGGAUGCUGGAACUGAGGGCUAGGGCGCUGGAAUGACUGCUGAGCAGGGCGCGGAAAUGAGUGCUGCCAAAAAUUCCCACUCGGGCCCCCUGCGCGGAACGGCGUCCCUUGCUGUGGAGCAAAGCGAGGGCGGGUGUUGCUUCCUGAAGACUACUGGGAAUUGAAUUUCCUCUUCAUCUCCCCGAGCUCGUUCCUCUUGUGUUCCAGGCCAAUUGCCUUGUCUAGCAUCUUCUGGAAACUGGGGAAGGUGUGCGACAUAAGCUGAUAUUGGAGUGGUCCAAUCAACCCAUCCAAGAAUAGCUCCUGCUUCUGCUCAUCAUCAGCAACAUCUUCGGGAGCAUAUCGGGACAACUGGACAAACUUGUCCCUGUACUCUGCCACUGUCAUGUUCCCCUGCUUGAGAGCAAGGAACUCCUUCUUCUUAAGCUUCAUCAAUCCGGAAGGAAUAUGAUGACUUCUGAAGCUAGUCCUGAAUUCAUCCCAGGUGAUGCCAUUAGCAUUGGCAUGGGUGGUGGUGUAAGCAUCCCACCAAUCAGCAGCUGGCCCUUCCAGGCGUCCUGAAGCAUACAGGACCUUCUCCCUGUCAGUACAUUGGGCGAUAUCCAGCAUCUUCUCCACUGUUUUCAGCCAAUCAUCAGCAUCUAAUGGAUCCGGAGAAUGUGAAAACGUCGGGGGCUUGUGGCUCAUGAACUCCCUAUGCCUGUCCCUUGGCGGCGGCUGCUGCUGGUUGUUGUUGUUGUUAUUGUUCAGCUGAGCUUGUAAAGCUGCCACGGUGUUGGUCAGUCCGGCGAGAAGCUGAGUCUGAGCUGCUAGAAACUGCUCCAUCCCUGCAGGUGCUUGUUGGUUCUGUUGCGGAGCGGUGUUGGGAUUGCUGCUGUUGUCCCUGUGGCGUGGCACUGUGGGACGGUCAACUCCUGAUCCGGACCUGGUGUUUACCAUCUGAGCGUUAGAGACAAUGGAUUUAGAUAGAUGUGUGAAAGAAUAACUGAGAAAGAUAAAGCGACCAGAUGUAAAAGUAACACAGAUUCUGUUAGCUCCAUUUAAUUAGGUGUGGUCGUCAGAAGAAGUGUCCAUAAAUUCUGAACAAUUACCAAGUCGUAACUUAUUAAAUUUGUAAACCAACCCAACUGGAAUCAUCUCAAUCGGACUUCUGGAUCUCGAGUUACAAAAUUAACAAGCUGACAGUGUCGGUCGAUAGGUUCAGAUUCUGAGUGCUUUACUAAUUCGCAUACACCUCCCAGACAGAUACACCAAAAAUUCUGAAAAAUUUACAGAUAGUACUCCACGAAAUUCUGAAACUAACCCCACUGGUUUCAUGUCAUUUGGACUUCUGUAGCUAGAGAUAUAAAUAAAAAAGUACUGGCGUGUCAGUUAAUGUCGAGAACAGAAUUGAAUGUCGCUUAGCUUGCGUGAUGGAUAGAUUUAGACAGAUGGUAGAUCAUGAUUAAGGAAGAUUAAAUACUGAUUUAGAACAGAAAUAAAACCCAACUAAGCACUUUAUUUAUUAAGACCAGUAUCGUGUGGCAAUUGCCCCACAUACCGCACUCAUUACAAAAUCCAACUCAAACAUGUAGCACAAAACCAAUCAUCUAAGCACACUUUAACUAACACACUCGAACGACGUCUAACGAUUACAAGAAUUUAAACUAAAACACUCCUAAUUUCCUAGAGGUCUUCUGCGGCGGUGCCGGGCGAGUCGUAGCGGGGACGCUUAGGCGACGGCGACGAAGCGGGAUGAACAGCAAACUCCUGCGGCGGCGGUGCUCCCGUCGCGGCAGCCAUAUUCGCAUCCCUCUCCCACCGGAGUUCCUGAACCUCCUGUUGAAGCUCCUGGAUGUGGUUGUUUGCUUCAUUCAAUGCGGUGAGAGCUGCCGACGUGUACUUGCGGAGGAAGUCUGUAGCCAUGUCAACCCCAUCGUUAGUAGCGAUGAAGGUUCUUGCUUCCCCACUAGCUCGGUAAGGAAGGAACCGAUGGUAAGUGUGCUGCAAUCGCGGCCGUUCCUUGUGGGAGACGACCUCAAGUGCCCUCCUGGCGGCCUCGGCAAUGCCGGAUUCCAUGGUCCUCCUUAUGGUCACAUCAUGGUGAAAAGCCUUCACCUCCCAUCCUCCCUCGUGCUCCUCACGAAGGACAACCUUCACCUCCCAAAAAGUGGGAUAGCGAGGGUGGGUGAACCGGGAGCACUUGUAGAGUGGCCUCAUGCCGUACCCCAAGCGGUGACAAGUCCACCUGAGUAUGUCGGCCAUGUGCACUCCUUGGCCAUAAUCUUCCUUCACCCAUUUGAUCCAUGUCUCGGGCUCGGGAUCUGCUUCGGGCUCAUCAUCCGUCAAGUCGACGACCGGUACGGGCGUCGGGGCUGGUGCAGGAGCGGGCGCCGGUGCUGGCGACGGUGCUGGUGACGGCGUGGUCUCCUGCUCCACGGUCACGGCGUCCCCGUCAGAGUCAUCCCCCGGAUGCUGGAAGAUCUCUUCCUCUUCUUCCUCGUCCCAAGGCUCCAUGGGGGCGUACGACGGCGCGAUGCCAUGACGCGGCGGACGGGUGCUCUUGCGUGCGGUCAACCGGGUGCGAGCCAUCUAACAGAAAGAAAGAAGAAAAUUUUAGAAUAAAAUUUUGAACAAAGCUAGAUAAUAAAAUAGCAAUAAGGAUGAGACAAAUCAAGUUUAAGAAUAAUUAAGUAGAUUUAAAUUAAGAAAGGUAGGAAUGGCUACUAGAUUAUUAUAAUCCUUAAAUACGACCAUUUUCUAACUAGGCUAACGUCCUACAGUCAACACGGCUCUGGUACCACUUUUGUCACACCCGAUUUUAAGGACAAAAUCGAGUGCAUUAAAUACAUGUGCGCCAGGAUCAAGUUACACACAUGUACGACAAUAGUGAAUAGUAAAGCCAGUGCUAAAUCGAAUAAAGAGAGUAUUAACCAUUAUUACAUGACCGAAUGUCUCAAAUAAACCACAAAGUCUAAUUAUUACGCAGCGGAACUCCAAAGAUGACGACGACUCCAUAGGCAGCUGACUGAAGAAACGUACGCCUAGAACUCCUCGAAGUCGUGGAAGUACUCCUCUUCCCAAUUAACUUGGUCUGAACAGCGGUUUUGCAAGGGUGAGUACACUUAUGGUUGGUACUCAACAAGUCGUGGGAAGUAGUGUAGUGUAAGGCUAAUUCAAGGUAUGGCUAAGGCGUAAAUAGCAUUCGCUUUUAAUUAAGUUGGUCAAAUUUUAUUAGCAUUUACUAAGUAUAAGUUCAUACCACCCGAAAUUAAACAUGAACAUAAAGUAAACCACAUGUGCAUGAAAUGAUAACAAAUUAAAUCCAUCUUCCGAUAAUAUUAUCAUGUGAGGGUCCAGGCCGCUCUUAACCGUGAGCACGGCUGAUUGAUCAGUUUAACACUCUGCAGAGGUGGCACAUCUUUACCCACAAGUCGCGUAAAAGUUCAAAAGAACUUUGGACCCAACCAUGCGGUGUUUGCAAGGCACCAUACCACACUUCCGAGGUGUGAUUGCAUAGGGACGCUACGAGGCCUUUACAAAGAUUCAUUAAUCAGUGGUAACCCGCUAAGGUUUCGGUGUCUGGCGUGCACCACCCAUCCCAGGUAAAAUGCAACGACUCAGUCCCCCCCCUUGAAUCAUCACGAGUAAGGUCACCCCAGACUAAGGUUUCUAAUUAAUCAGCCAAGACCAGAGCUAUUUAGUCUUGUGGUAGCACUGUUUUCCUGGGUGGUCGCUCCAUGUUCUGAUUAACAAAUAAUGAUCUUGUCUUAAUGAAAGGUAUAACAGAAAUAAGGCAAGAUUAAGCAUUGUUUUUAGUUAAACCACCAUGUACCAAGUAAGCACUAAGCAUGAGCUACCCAACAUAAAGUAAACCGGUUGGUCAAGGCAAAGGUAAAACAAUCUAGGCCAACCUUAAUUGGGACCCAUCAAUUUAAUCUUAAUAUGUGCACAGCAUAAAUGUUGAGUACGAGAAAGUAAAGGUGUAUAGGACAAAAAGGUAGUGAUCAAGGACACGACUUGCCUUCUUGGCCUUGCUCCUGCUGUUCGUACUCCUCGAAGGCUUGAUCGGCAACUCCCUCGAACUGCGGGGCGUCUACACGCAUCACACGAGCACAUACAAGCAAACAUGGGCAAAAGUAAGAAAACAGUAUACCAAACAUAGUCAAACAGAGAAAACAAGCUUGAAAAGAUGAUCUACGCUUUAAAACGAACACGCGGAUAUAAAGAACGCGAAAAACGGAGUUAAGAUGCAAAAGAUAUGAUUAAAACAAAAUCCAGGGACUUUUCUGUAAGAAAAACAAAACUUUUAGGGCCUAUCCGCGAAAACCGAGGGCUUAUACGUAAUUAUGCGUAUAAACCGAGGGUCUGAUGCGUAAAAACAUCAAACCCGGACGGCGGGUUGAUUUCUGGAAAGGUCAAGGGUUAAACCGAAAAAUGCGAGGGCAGAUCUGUAAAUACUUUCAACGCGAUCUGGACCGCGGGUUGAUUUGCGAAAAAGGCGGGGGCUAAAGUGCAAAAACUGCACGGCGCGGCUCGGUUGACCGGUACGCGAUCUUGAUUGACUCGCGUCCGGCCGUCGGAUUAAGAUCCGACGGUCGCGGUGAUCCGCGACAUCGCGGCGGCGGCGGCGAGCGGCGGCGAGCGGCGGCAAGCGGCGGCGGGUCGCCGGAGUUAGGCAAAAUAGCGCCACGAGGCACGGUUUAACGCGCGGGUUGCACCAAAAAAGAGAGGGGAACACGUCGAUCCCGUUUUGGGGGUUCUUGUCGACGGGGGCUCACCGGCGACGGCGAACGGCGGCGAGGAAGAGGCGGCGGCGCUAGGAGCUCGGGCGGCUAGGGUUUCGGGGAGCUGCGGCGCUGGUUUUGGGCGGAGGAGACUGGGAGGAGGCGGCGGCUUUUAUAGGGCUUGGAGAUAGAGCCGGCGCGGGUUCAAAUCCCCCGGAGGAGUCGGAGCGGAUGGAGUCCGGGGCGGAGACGGCGCGCGGCGGUUGCGGAGUUCUGACCGGAUUCGGCCGGAGGUGGGAGACGAUGGGUGGGGUCCACCCGUCAGUGGCGGAGGGGAGCGGUAGACGGGCCGGCGCGACCGUGGGCUGGCGCGCGCUCGUGGGCUGCGGGGAGCGGGAGAGAAGCGGCGAGCGGGCGCUGGCGGAGCAGGCCGAGCGGAGGUAGAGCUGGGCCGCGGAGAAAAAGGAGGAGGCCGGCGGGCUGCUUCGCAGGCCGGUAAGGAUGAGGCGGCCGGGCCGAAGAAGAAAAAGAAAAGGAGGGACAAGGAGCUUUCGGCCGAGGGAAAAGAAGAAGAAAAAGAAAAGGAAGAAGAAAAGGGAAAAGGUUUUGGAAUUUGAAUUUAAAUCUGAAAUUCAAAAUUUGAUUCAAACUCAAGCAACCAAAAAUUAUGCUCCAGCAUGAAUGCACAAAUAAUUCCUAUGAUGAAUUAAUUGAAUUAAAGAAAAUGAAUUUAAAUGCCUAGAAAUUAAAUAACACCCUAAUUUGAGCAAAUUUUAAUGAAUUUGAAUUAUUGAAAUUUUGGGUGUUACAUUGGUACUACAUCUCAUGUAGUAGAGGCGAUUGUAAGAAGCAACUUGAAAAGAAGUUUGAUCACUACUAUUGCAAUAAAUGUGACAAGAGAGCCGAACCUAAAGCCCAGUAAAUUAUUUAGUAGUUUACAAUCUUAUUAUAAUACUUCUAUUUCUAAUAGGAGAAUAAUAUUUUCAGAUUCAAAUUAAGCUUCAAAUAAGUGAUCCAACAACAAGUGCAACUUGUGUACUUUUGACAAGGAAGCAGAAAUGAUAAUUAAUGAAUGAGCAGAUUCGAUGAUCACCUCAGUUGAUCAUGAUAAUAAGUAGCUACCAAAAUCAAUUCAGGAAAUAUGUGAAGAAACAUUGAUUUCUCAAUUCAGAUUGACCGAGUACAACUUGACAAGUUUUAGACCUGAUUAUACUGUUUCAAAGAUAUUUUUUCCAAAAGAAAAGGGCAGUUCAAGAAUUGGUAUGGAAAGUGUAAAAAAGGUAACACUUUAUUAUUAAUUUUUUAUUGCACUUUUUUCUUUUGAAUCCGUAAUACUUAAUAAUUUUACUAUAUCAAUGAAACAAAUUCUAACCUAAAUUUAUUUUCUUUUUUAUUAUUUGUAGGAAGUAGAAGACAACUCAGACAAAUGCUACACGAUAACUACCGAGAAUGAAGAGGUAGACACUGAUGACUCUUUUACCGAGAAAGUAACAUUCGUAGAAGAAGCCAUAAGGACUGGGGAAAGAUUGGCUAGAAAAGUAUACUCACUUCCAUGUCAGUGUUCAUUCUAUUUACAAUACAUGCAAAAAAAAUAUUAUUCAUGCAAAAUUGCAGGUCUACUAAGCAUUAAAGGAAUAGCGGAUAGUGCAAUAUGUAAUCUGAGCAGCAUGCAUUACAAAGUGCUCUACUGCAAUUAAAUUAAAAAACAUGAUAUAUGUUGAAUUCUUAGACUUUAUUAUUAUACUUUUCUACGUGACAAUUCACAAUUUUUUAGAAAAAAGAAGAUCCCAGAAGAAGUGACCAUGAAAAAAGGUCUAUGACCAGCAAUAAGAAAAAAUGCAAGCAUAGAAACAAAUCCGUAGAAAACAUAGAAAAUAAGGUACUCCAUAAACAAAAGUAUUCUCUUAUAUUUUUAUUAAAUAUUUUUUUAACACUUGACAAGUUCUUUUUUAGGAUCAAUAUAUCAGCAAUUCAGAUGUCAUUGGAGAUGAAACCUUAGUUCAUCCAAAAGGUCAAAAAAAAACAUCUGAAGAAAGGUGUUUGGCUGAAAAGGAAAAGCAAAAAAGUGGUAAUGCAGACAAACACAUGCAGAAAAAUAUAAAAACAUGUCAUAGGGAGGCAGACCAAUCUUGCAAGGAGGUAUAGACGAAACGUGAUACACGACCUGCCUACCUUGUCGUGGAUACCCCAAGAAGAUGUCAUAGAGGUGCAGACCAAGCUAGCAAGGAGGUCGAAACGUGAUACACGGCCUGCCUACCUUGCCGUGGAUAUUAGCCCUGAGAUCAUUCUACUGUUCAAGGAAUAACACUCAAUGCUGCUGCUGCUGCUGACCUGGCUCCAUAAAGUUAUACUCCUCUAGGUGCUUGCACUAACUUUAUCUGAAGUAUUAUUCUCUCUGCACUGUAUAUAUGGUUAUGGAGUUUGCUGGAGUAUCCGGGGCGAAGAACCUACAUAAUACGUCUUGGAACUAAUUGACAUUGAUUCACAGACAAACUCUACAAGGUGCUGUUCUUGCCAUUUUAGAGCAUCCAAAGGACUAUAAAUAACAUAGUUUACCAUAUACCAUAUACCAUAUACCAUAAUAUGUUAGCUAAAAUAAGAGCAUACACAUGUUGCAGGAGUCCAAAAGCACCGGUUGAGGACCAGGUACAUUGAAUUACUAGAAAAAGACAGGGGACAAGGUUUAGGUAACCACAUGAAACAUUUGAAUUUAUUGUACUAUGAACACUUAGUUACCAUGCCAGGAGCACAUAGUUAACACUAACAUUUAGCCACUUUAGAUCAUCCCGAAUCACCAAUGACCCUCAAUAGUGACAAAUUUUGGUUUAAAUGCCAUCACCAAUGAUCCUCAAUAGUGACGUAUUUAGGUUUAAAUCCCGUCACUAAUAACCCUCAAUAGUGACCUGUUUUGGUUUAAAUCUCAUUACCACUGAUCCUCAAUAGUGAUGUGUUUUAGCAAAACAUGUUAUCAAUGACUUGUCAUUGGUGACGUGUUAAAACGCGUUAUCUCAAUGGCAAAUCAUUGGUGACGUGUUAUCUCAAUGUUAUCAAUGUUCUAUUCUUUUCAACAAUACCAGCUCGUUCCUCCGUUUUUAUUCCACCAAUACAAGCACCACCUUGUAACAUUUCCUAUGUUUUUUUUCCUUUUGUCUGUUUUCUCACUACAUGCGUUGCUCUUUCAUGCAUUUUUUUCCAUUCCUGUAUUCCAAAUAGGUCUACAUGAACACAAAAUGAACUAGGGGACAGAAAAAGCCAGUGAAGCCAAUUUUGAGCUUCACCAGCUACUUGCUACAUAAAGUGUGCUAUAGUGACGUGUUUUAGCAAAACAUGUUAUCAAUGACUUGUCAUUGGUGACGUGUUAAAACGCGUUAUCUCACUGGCAAAUCAUUGGUGACGUGUUUUAAAAAAACAUGUCACCGUGAGAGUCAUUGGUGAAGGGUAAUUAAAAUGCGUCACUAAUGUUGUAGCAUUAGUUAUGAUAAUUUAGUAACGCAAAAAUCUACCAUCAGUAUUGAGCUUUAGAGCCAUCGCUAAUGUGGGUUUCUUACAUAGUGAUGCAAGCUCUACAAGGUGCUGUUGCUGCCAUUUUAAAGCAUCCCAUGACUACAUGUUAAUAACAUAGUUUACCAUAUAUCAUAAAAAUAUUAGUUACAAUAAGCACAUACGCAUGUGGAAGAGUCCGAAUGCACCGGUUGAGGACUAAACACAUUGAAUUACUAGAACCAAAUGUAUGUUUAGAACAAAGACAGGGGUCAAGGUUUGGGUAACCGCAUUAAAAACAUUGGAUUUUACUGUACAUGAACACUUAGUUACCAUUACCAUGCCUUGAGCACCUAGUUACAACAAACAUUAAUUUAGCCACUUUAGAGCUUCCAGAAUCGCUAUAAAUAAUAUACCUACGCCGUACCAUGAAAACAUCAAGAAGAGAGACGGAUACAUGGACCACCAUCAAGCGAGUAGUGACAGCACGCACAAGAAUACCCGGAACCUGUUAGCUUGUCUGUAGUGAUCUGUUUUCUUCCCCAUAAAAUCCAUGAGUAUUGCCACAAAUAAUGAAAGAGGCUGACCAAGCUAGCAAGGAGGUAGAGCAAACGUGAUACACGGCCUGCCAAGAUUGCCCUGGAUACGCCAAUAAGAGCGACAGAUACAUGGAUCACACCAAUAUGGUGAAACGUAUAUUCAUCACACAAGCAAAGCUGGUCAGUUUAUCCAUGGUCAAAUUGUGGUCUUUGUUUUCACUUGAGAGCUAAUUGAGGCACUAUAAUAUGGGCAGGCCUAUCUUCAACAGACAUGACAGCUACAGGGAACUUGACAUAAUUUGCUGGGCCGCCUGUGCACAAUUAUUUGUUUUAUUGUCCUUGCAUAGAAUGCUAAAAUACUCUUUACAAAAUGUUGGAUCUAAUAUUUGAAAUAUAGAGUAGUAAUCAUAUAUUGAUCAACAACUUGAAAUUAUCUGUACAUUCUCGGUGAAGCUGUUGAACUAAUUUUUGCAAAUUAUUAAUUCAUCUCAUUACGUAAAGAAAAAAGUAAGUGGAUAAGAUAUUUCGUGGACCACAUCACUGCAAACAUGUCAUGGAGAGACAGACCAAGGAGGCAGGACGUGAUACACGACUUACCCUAGGUUGCCGUGGAACCGCCAAGAAGAGAUACAGAUACAUGGACCACACCAUCUUGGGAGUAGUGACAGCAUAUAUGCAGAAGAAUACCCCGUGCCUAUUUGCAUGCAUGUCUCAAGUGAUCUGUUUUCUUCAGAAAAUACAUGAGCAUUGCCAGAAAGAAUGGCAAGAGACAAACAUGUCAUAGAGACUUGCAUGUCUUGCCUUGGAUACGCCAAGAAGAGGGACACAUACAUGGAUAACACAAAUCUAGUGACACGUAUAUUCAUCACAAAGGCAAAUCUGAUAAUUUUAUCCAUGGAGCAGACCAAGGAGAAAUUGAUGACGGACAUGUGAUCUCUGUAUUCAGUUGAAAGCUAAUUGAGCUACACUAAUAUGAGCAGGACUAUAUUCAAGAGACUUGUUGAGAGCUACAGGGAACUUGUAAUAAUUUGCUGGGCGGCCUGCGCACAAUGAUUUGUUAUACAUAGUUGAAAUAUUUCAAGAAUUUAUCAACCUCAUACUCUGAAACCCUUGGUGCAAUGUACUCUGCUUUCCGAGGUAGACUGUUCACGUAAAAUGAGGUCAUGCGUAAGACGGAAUCGGAUUGGAUUCACAGGGAAUCAGAUUUGGAUAGCACCUUUUAGCAGGUUUUUAGUCAAAUGCAAAUUCGGAUCCACAUGUGGUUGAAUGCGAGUUCAAAAUUCUACUUGGAUAUCCAUUUAAUUUAGGUGAUAGCAAUUAGCACAAAAUGUUGGAUGAACAAAAUCAUAGUUAGACAUACAAUUACAUGUAUGGUUAAAGUAUAAUACAAUACACCAAGAUUAUUCCUUGAAAAUAUUUCUUAAAAAUAUUAUAAUAAAUGAAUAAAUAUAAUUGUGGCCACCAACAAAUAGUCGGUGGUCGCUAAGUUGGAGCCAUUUCUGGUUACUAAUGCGGCCUUCUCCUCGACCAGCGACGACAGCUGAGCUUGUUCCUUCUGACACUAAAUCAUCAGAGUCUUCCCUCCACUACUAUAGAAUGCACCUUUAGCACCAAUUGGGAAAUCCCCUUCAGUAUUGGAUGCUGCAACCAGUGCUAUAUAUCAAAAUGGAGACUAAAAGCCUCGGUCUUGGGUACCGGUUGCAUAACGCAUUACUAAAGGAGGCAAAAGAGAAAUGUAACAAAAAAAAUAUUUUGAAUUCCAAGAAUGUUUCACUAUUCAAGAUGACUAGCUGAGAGUCAACAGACAAGAUACUAGGAAUGUGGGUGCUUGAAUGCAUUUGUACAGAGGUCAUACUAUUUACAAACUCUUCUAUGUUUCCAUAUGACUACCUACUUCAAUGUCACGCGAGCCAUUCAGCUGGACACAUGGCACACUAGCUUGCAUGUCGAAUCCAUGAUUAAUUAUUUGCACUUGUGAUCUCUUACCAGUAUUUGUCCAGACUAGAAACGUGCAACACAUUUUUAGGAUAUGGACACGCAUAUAUUUGGACUAGUAUACAGGUCACCUUUGGAUGCGUACAAGGAUGACCGGGAGGGACUAAUGGAUACAAGGAAGGGACCAUCAGGAUUAAUAUUGACAUAUGCCACAUGACAAUCUUCAUUGUCAUGCAAUCCCUAUCAACAAUCAUGGAAUCCCUAGUGUACUAAUCCCUGGAGGGUUGUGUGGAAAUUUAUUUUACCUUGCGGUGAAAAUCUCAUGAGCAGUCAUUAGUUAAGCUGACUAGCUGAGAUAUAAUAGACAAGCUAGUAAGAUUGGGAGCAUCAAUGCAUCCAUACAGGGUCACAAUAUCCUUUCCAUUCACUUUUAUAUAUAACCCUACGAAUACAAGUCCAACGAAAUGCGGGCCUUUCGAUCAAGAUAAAUUAAAUGGCCCACUUGUAUUUCUAAUCCAGGAUUAACUAUGCCCUCUGUUCAUCUCUUGCAAGCACGUGCAACACAUUUUCACGAUAUGGACAUGCAUGGAGGUUAUUAUACUGUUUGGACAAACUCUGAUGUGCCAUGACCUAAAUGCUUAGGGCCUGUUUGGUUUGAGUUGCUUAUUAUAAGCAACUUAAAGUUGCUUAAAGUUGCUUAUUUGAAGUUGCUUAUUUUUAGUCUAAACUGUUUGGAUACCCUUGCUUAUGAGCAUUGAAUGAGUUGGACAUUGUCAAAUUUGCCCCAUGUGUUGCUACCCCUCCAAUUUGCCUCCCCACCCUUCUUCUUCCUGCACACGUCCGAUCCCGGGGGCCGACGGCGGGCAGGGAGCAGCAGCAGCUGGCCAGGGCGGCGGUGGGGCGGGAGCGGCGGCGCACACCAGCACGCGCUCGCACGCCAGGUGCUAGGGCGCGGCGAGGCAGUCGUCGUAGCCCACCGGGAGCGGGUGCUCGGGCGCGAGGCGGUACUCGACGGAGAUGCCGAGCGUCGGGCGCGCGGCGGCGAGCGCGUUGAGGAAGCGAUGGUAGUGCGGCGACGUCGCGGACUCCGCCACGAAGCCGCCGCCGUGGACGUACACCACCACGGGCAGCUUCGUCUUGCCGUCGGCGGCCGCGGCCGCGGCCUGGGGUGGCAGGUAGAGGCGGACGGAGCAGGAGCCGAGGUCGACGUCCCUGGAGUCGACGCCCGUGGCGGCGUCCAGGCUGGGCCCGACCGGCGGCGGCACGAGCGGGCGCUCGAUGCGGCCGCUCUUGUAAAUCCGACGGGUCUGUGCGGAGGCGGGCGGCGGGCGGGAGCGGCGGGUGGGAGCGGCGGCAGGUGGUGCGGAGGCCGGCGGCGGCGGGUGGCGCGGAGGAAGGGGAGCUGGUGAGUGGUGACAGGGGAGGGGGGGAGAGAGAGGGGGGGUAGGGUGCAUUGAAUGAGGGCAGGAGGUGUAAAGUGCACCUUUUAGUCCCCAUGAGCAACCAUAAGCAGCCCAAGAGUUGCUUAUUUGCUUAUAAUAAGCAACCUCAUAAGCAAGAGUGAUUGGUUUCAUAAGCAACUUAUUUGCUUAUUUUAAGUUGCUUAUGCAUAAGCAUGUGAAACCAAGCAGGUCCUUAACCUAUGGUUGUGGCACCACACAGUACAUAGUAUUUAAUAAUGCUAUUCGUUUGGUAUGUGCACAAGGGCACGCAUGAAAUGUCUGGCCCACGGUAAACAAGUACGGACGCUGCAAAUAAUCUACUCUGCUCGUCCAGUCCCUAGCCUAUAAAUAGAUGCCAUGCUAGCUCUUGUUGUGCUCACAAUUAAUCCUGACUACACACGAGCUUCUCUCCCUGGCCAAGACACAAUCAUAGUAUGAUGAAGAACAUGGCACUAGCCGGCAAUGGUAUGAAGAACUUAAUCCUCGCUGUUCUCUUACUGUGUCUAGUUAUAGGGCAGAUACAAGUGGAAGCUAAGAGCUGCUGCCCAUCCAUUACUGCAAGAAAUAUCUACAAUGCCUGCCGUAUCACGGGUACAUCCCGUCCAACGUGUGCAAAACUGUCAGGCUGCAAAAUUAUCAGCGGGGACAAAUGCAAGCCCCCUAACGACCACCUCACCCUUGACCCGGACACUGGUAAAUAAUAAAUUUAUCUCACUUGAUUUCUUCGUGUUUUGAGUCGUUAAUGUAUUUUCCAUCUGAUGAAACGUAUUGGUUUUGCAUUGAAGAGGAAGUUAAUGUGCUUAACUUCUGCAAGUUGGGGUGUGCGUCGUCUGUGUGCAACAACAUCAACGCUGGUAAGCACCUUUUGCUCAGACGGAGAAAACAAUAAUCAUUAAUUAGCGGCAGCUAGAAUCCUAUAAUCUAAUAUAUUUAUAUAUAUAUAUAAUUUUAUCAGCUCUGGGAAAUGAAGAGGCGAACGAUGCCGUUGAGAGUUGCGACCAAGCCUGCUCUAGCUUCUGCAACGUGCACGUUGGCGCUGCCACCGUGGUUGCUUAAGCAAAUGCAUCCAACUGGAUCGUCCUUGUGCUAAAUAAUUGGAUAUCGUAUCCACUUAAAGCUGCCUUGUGUAGUACGUUUUUGUUUGUGUCUCUCUUUAUAUUCCAAUAAGGUCGGUGAUCUUGAUGCCACACACUCAGACGUGUGUUCAUCUCCAGAUACUACUCCAUGCUACCUGCCCUUUGUGUUUUGUUCAAUAACUGGGUAUCAUAUCCCAGCCAGUGUGCCAUCUGUUUUGUGUUUAUUUCCUUCUAGUUUCAAAGGGGUUAUCAUGAUGUUACCUUCUUUCGAUAUGGUGCUUUGCAUGACUACUGUUGUAUGGUACCAUCUUGUUGGCCAAUAAAUACAUCUUAUCCUAUGACCCUUUGCUAUGACCCUUUGCAAAUAAGUACAAGAUUGUUAAAUACUCGGUAUAAAUUGACUACUGCUGUGAGUUCCCUUUCAGCUUAUCGUAGGCAUACAUUAUUGCUAGCACGGUGAAGACAACCAACACGAAUGGUCAAGUAAACGUACCGGUACUUUUGUAUACCAACACCCUUGCUUAAAUGUACCGGUGUUACUCCCCACUAGCACAUAUAUUCUUAUAUGCUAGCCGGCUUGAAAAUUAACCGAUUAAAAUAAUUAUUUCAAGACAGAAAUAACUUAUCGGCUUCUCGAAGCAUGUGUAAUGUGAAUUCAAGGACUUGAUGGAAGUUGAAUCGCUUAAUCUAGAUUGCUUUCAGGAUUUUGGGUAACUAAAUUUAACAUUUGCACAUACAAAUGUUAAUGUACAAAUAUUAAAUAUAGUUACCCAAGCAGAAUAUGAAGAUACUCUAUAGUAUAUAUAUACUAUAUAAAUCUAGUUAACAUUUAGUCUAAAUGUUAAAUCUAGUUACCUAAAAUCCUGAAAGCAAAAUGUAUAAAUAUAUAUCUUUUAAGGAAUCCCAAAGCAAGAGUUCAGUGGCAUUCUAUAGUCCCAUGCUGCUAGUUUGAGUUGGUCGAAGCCAACUUAAAUAGGAGAGCUCUCUCACUUCUCUAAAUACGUAACUGAAGGAGAGAAGGGGGCUUGGUUACACAACGCACGCACGCACGCAUAUUUGCGUUCUUUUCGCGUAACCAACCGCGUGACUUGAAACUUGCGACGUAGCGUGCUGCCAAGUCAAGUUGAUAUAACCUUUUUGCCGUAGGCGUGUAAUCUUUUGACAACGGUCAUUGGAGGUGAUAAGCACGCAGUCAAUACCUUAAUCCUGAG